This 70337-nucleotide long non-coding RNA is filed under the name Sorghum bicolor (sorghum). RNAcentral describes it as "long non-coding RNA (SBIC_LNC002924)". The record is from RNAcentral. Lineage: Eukaryota; Viridiplantae; Streptophyta; Magnoliopsida; Poales; Poaceae.
UGGCGAGUGAAUGGUGUAUGGUGAUGAUGGUGAUAACAAUGGUGAAAGUCUAAUUCUACUUGUGCUCUUUUGAGGGGAUACAUACCUUUCUUGCACUUUGAAGCUCUUUGAGGAGAAUGAAAUGCUCUACAUUUUCUUUUUCUUUCCUCUCAGGUGGGUAUCUUGUACCCCUAAUCCUACUGUCGGACACUUGUCCAUUUUUACAUCUCGUCUCACUUUUUCUUUUCUUCGAGGUUCCGGGCACUUGCCCCUUUUUAUUUCCUUGUAUCCUUUCUCUUUUUUUAAGAACACUCAUCUCCUAAAAUGUAGCAAGUGGUAGUAACCAAGAUAACUCGAGCAUUUAUUUCACAGGGAAAAACAGAAAUAGGAGAAUAUUUUUGGCUAUUCUCUCCCGAAUAGGAGUAGAAUAAUUUUAGGUGAAUCUAGAGAUGGAAUUGAGUGGAUGUAUGUGGAUGCGUACUUCCAGAGUAGAAGUAGCAUGUAUGAGUGAAUGUGCAAGUGAAUCUUGAUUUUAACCGCAUGACAAGCUCCUAAGGGUCUACACAGCUUGACCACACUCAAUGCUCAUAAGCAGUAAAAAGUAAAUGUGUGGCUCAAAGUCUAGCAAGCAUGUAUAUAUGAGUGUGGUAGGAAUUUAAACUCUCAUCAUACAAGAACUCAUCAUGUGUUAUUUUAAAGAUUUUCAAAGAUAAAAUUCUCCAGAAUUCUAGCAUCUCAAGAAACAGAUAAACAACAGCUCAACCUUCCCAUAUCAUAUCCGUUAACAACUUAGACUUUAGAUCAAGUACUCUUCCCACAAGUUCAGGUUUAGAGCAGGUUUAAAUUAUAACAGUCAUGCCUAAACUUGAGAGAGAGCUCAAACUUGAAAACUAGGUACAUGGUAGAGCAACUAUUUAUCAUAUCCAUGUAAGAGUUUAUCAUUUAUGUUCAGUUUGGCCUAGACACUUUAUUUAUUUAUUUAGCAAACUAAGCAAAGAUAUAUAUAAGCACAAAAUUUUUAUUUGGGUUUUCAUGAUUAUGCAUCUUUUUAUCAUUUGAGUAAAGUAUAAACGCGAGUAGAAACACUUAGCUGGAUAAAUGGGGUGCUCUCCCCCCAAGCUGGAUUUUGACGUAAUUUCUUCUGAUGUAGCUAGCAGGUGACGGAGGUGUAUUUGAAUGUCAGCAGCACCCUGACAGCGAUUAUUAUGUCCUCCGUCGGCUAGUCUUCUUUGAUCCUUGAAUUCUGUGGAGGUCAAAUAGACAACAAAGCUUUGUGGAACUGGUUAAGUGUAAGCAUAAAAUCCCUUACCCUUUAUCAUAUUGAGAUUCCUCGUUAUAAAUUUUAUUUAGCAGGAUCAUGCACUUAUUAUUUUUAUAUUUUUAUUGUAAGAUGCAAACAUAUUUAUUUUAUGCCACCACAGUCAAUAUACCUAUGGGUUUUAAACCACAAGUAUACUCACAUGGGGCUUUAAUUUUAUGAUGCAGUGCAACAAAUAAAUAUUUUUGUUUUCUUUUCUAAUGCUAAUGUGGAAAAGUAAAUAUGCUAAUGCAAGUGAUGGAAUAAAAAAAGGAAAAGGAAUGCGGAAAAGAUAAAUAUGGAUAAAUACCGAUUUUACCUCAGGCAAGGAUCUAAUGUUUUAAGUCUUCUGGACAAGACUUCUCACCGUGUUCAUCCUUUAGGUGCAUCAUUUGAUUAGGUGUGGGCCUUGACAUCUGCACCUCUUGAUACGGUGUCACCCAUGAUCUUCGUUUGUCUAGCAGUUCGAGGUGCGGCAUUGGCAGUAUCUUGCUCAGUGUGUUUGUGCUCGUAGAUCCAAGUCCUUCACUUGGUGGAAUCUGGGAGUUAAAAAAUCCUCCAUGUUUCUCAAAAUGUGUCCUGCUCAUAGAGACAAGGUAGAGAUCAAGUGCACGGCCCUUGUUGGUGAAAAACACCAACAGAACCAAAAGUGUAUUUGUUCUUCUCUAACCUUAAGCAUAGUGAGCAAGACAAAGUUGAUGGAUAAUAAGAUCAUGAGUGUGGCAUUUAAAACAUUUGUCAGAUCAGAUCGCUCGACCUAAUGGAAAGAUAAUCUAUCUAUAUUUAUAUUUUUUAUAUCUUCCAAAGAUUGAAUGUGCAACAUUUUAGCUUAUAUGAUUAGGACUGUGGGAUCACGAAGGUAGUACUAAGUGUUGACGGUUCUUAAGUAUCAAUUUUAAUUAUCAAAUAAACAAGAGAAAGGACCAAUAUGCAACCAUCACCUAGAAUUAGGGUUUGAUCUAACAGAAUUCCACGAGUUUUGUUGUUUAUCUGUUUCUGCAGGGGGUUAUCAGGAAAUAAGGAAGAAAGGCCCACAUGUCGGGAUUACAUAGAGAUAUCAACGCACCGCGCAAUUUUAUAUCAUCUAGAAGACUCCAGAAGCCACGAGACCGAAGCGGAGGCGAAGCUGGGCCAGGCCCAGGGCGCCCGCCCUGGUAGCCUGGGCGCCCGCCCCCCUGUUGGAGCCAAUUCAGGACUCCUUCGCUCGGGAUAUUCCACCGACCUAUUGGAUCAAGAAAAACAUAGUACCACCUCGCCUAUCGACCCAAAAACGCAUAGAAGGGGAGGACUAUAUAAGCAAGGCCCCCCUGGUCCCUGGAGGACAAGAAGAAAUUAUCAUAGAGACUGAGGGGUGCCCUCGAAGGAAAACCUCUUCUCUAAUUAAUAUUUCUUUUUAGGCUUAGCAAUCAAUGUAAGGUAGAAAUAGAUCUUCUAGUUUCUACUAGAUUGAGAGAGAUAGAGUGGAGGUGUAGAGUGGAGGAAGCCCGGCUUGUCGGUGUCUACUCCAAGCUUGUACCUGCGGGAUCAAGUUCUCCUAACCCGAAGCUUGCUCCUAGGAUUCUUCAGUAAUUCGACUUCUAAAUUCUAGUAAGUUCUUGUUUUAUUGUUCUUAUGGUUUAUGAGUUUACUUUAAUCUCUUCGCGUAGAGUUUAGAGUAAUCAUUGCUGGCGUAAACGUGGUGUUUAGGCUGGGGUACUCAUAGAUAUUCCCUGACUAGCUGGACCGUGGUAGUAGUGAGGAACGUGACAUUUCCGAGCUACCUUUGUAGAUCACAUCUCGUUAGCAGGAAGGAUAGGGUUUAUAGGUGUGGGUCGAACAUCCUUUGUGUUGUCUAGAUUCCGUUAGCCUCCCCAUUAGAACAAUAGAUCAUCCUUACCAAGGUUAGAAGGAGACUACGGUUGCAGUCUUCUCUAUUUAUCACUCACAUCGAAAGACAUUCUUUGUGCCUAAAGGUUAGUAGUAAUAGACCGGUUAGUCAGAUGCACUCUUUCUCCUAGUGGUAAAAAAAUAAAUACGAUACUCUGGAUAAUUUCCUGGGUGAAGUGCUCACCGAUAUCCUUGCGCUUGCGGAUCAAUUCCUUAUUGCAUUCCCAAAUAUCAACAAGCAUUUCUGGCGCCGUUGCCGGGGAGAAAGACGGUUUGUGAGAUAACCUGUGUCUUGCUAUUAGCUUGUAUCUAUACUUUUAUCUUUUCUUAUCUUUUAUAUUCUUUAUUUAUUUUUCUUCACUCUUACCUUAUGGAAAACCAAAAUUCUAAAUCGAUCCAUGAGUCUGCAAUCCCUUUAGCAACUGACCUUUUACCAUGGGAAUCAUCACAGCCUAUCCAAACACCCCAGUAUAAGUUAAGUUCUAGGUUGAUUGCCAUGAUUCAAAACCUAUCUUUUUCAGGAAAGGAAGACGAAAACCCUUACCUUCAUAUUAGAGAUUUUGAGCAAACAUGUGAUUGUCUUCGCAUUGAAGGCAUUUCUGAUAAGACUUUACGUUGGAAGCUUUUUCCUUUUCCUUUAAGGGGAGAAGCUAGACAAUGGUACAGUCAGAAGGUAAGUCAACAACAAGGUGAAUGGGGAGUUUUACGAGCCAACUUGUGUCUAGAUUUUUAUUCCCUUGACCGUAUAGCUGACCUUAGACUCGAAGUCCUAUCUUUUAAACAAAAAGAUAAUGAAACUUUGGGAAAAUCCUGGAAACGUUUUUCUGAUCUUUUAGAAUCUGGUCCAAACCUUAAUCUUGAAGACCCUGUUCUUUUAUUUCAUUUUUUCCGAGGUCUUCAUAAAAAUCACAAACAAAUGCUACACACAAUGUCUAGAGGUUCUUUCUUUCGCAUCCCUGCUGAUGAAGCAAGAGUGAUCCUAGAUAGAAUCCUAGAAGCUGAGAUGGAUAAUACCCUUCAUGAUGAAACCUACGAAGCCGAAGUAGACACUCUGCCAAAUUCUUCAUCUACUUUAGCUAUCCCAAGUUCUGAGCCACAAGAGGAAGAAAUUCCACUACCGGACUUCAUGCUGGAUAUAGAAUCCGAUCUUUUUGCUGAUUUUGGAAAUAUUACAAACUACCAUUCUAUUGACAAACCCCAAAACGGCCAGUUUAGCAUUUAUUUACCAAGUGAAUAUCAAUUGAGAGAGCUUAUCUCAGUAAUGAGUAGCGAAUGGUUGGAGGAAUCAGAGCUUUCCUCUGAUGUGAUCCGAUUGGACACACCCUCUAUAACUAUACGCUGUGCUUAUAAUUCUGAUCGAUUUAAUGCUCUCUAUAAUCCUGUUGUGGGGAUCAACAUUAUGUCUGAAUCCUUUGCACUUAAACUAUUUAAAAAUCUUGUCUUAACCCCCACAACAAAGGUCAUAAAGGAAUCUUCGGGACGAUUAGUCCCCAGUCUUGGAAUUAUUAAUGUCCUGCCUCUUACGGUAGAAGGCUCCAUGGUUCAUUUGAACUUCUAUAUCUUUGAUACAUGGGACGUCGACCUAUUGAUAGGACAACCUUUUAGAAGACUCCUUUAUGAAGGUCAUACUGGAAAGCUACACAUUUCUUUUGGAAAAAUUUUUCAAUUCCCAAUGAUAAUUUCACACUCCUUAAACAAUAAGGCCGAGUCAUAUCUUUUGCCUGAUCCUAUGGAGGAAGUAAAGGUUGCAUCUCUAGAGCUUUUAGAUGAACCAGACUUAGAAGACGAAACUCCUUUCUUCACAGAAGAAGAAGACGAACCUUCUGAGCCUGAACCCUUAGACGAGUUCGCAGAAACACCUAGACCCCCCAUAGAACUUAAAACCUUACCACCCGGUCUUACCUAUGCUUUCCUAAACAAUAAUCCAGAGUUCCCUGUGAUCAUUAGCGAUAAACUCACUCAGGAUCAAACUCUACGAUUAAUGACCAUUCUUGAGAAACAUCAAUCAGUUUUCGGCUACUCACUUCAAGAUCUUACAGGAAUCAGUCCUAUGAUUUGUACCCAUCGUAUUCCAACAGAUCCUUCUGUUACACCCUCUCGAGAACCCCAACGUAGACUUAACAACACUAUGAGAGAGGUAGUUAAAAAGGAAGUUAUAAAGUUGCUGCAUGCAGGGAUUAUAUAUCCUGUGCCGCACAGUGAGUGGGUAAGCCCAGUACAAGUUGUGCCUAAAAAGGGAGGCAUGACAGUUAUUAUGAAUGAAAAGAACGAGCUAAUUCCGCAACGCACCGUCACAGGAUGGCGGAUGUGCAUAGACUAUAUAAAACUAAACAAAGCCACAAGAAAGGAUCACUUUCCUUUACCUUUCAUAGAUGAGAUGCUAGAGCGGUUAGCAAACCAUUCGUUCUUCUGUUUCUUAGAUGGAUAUUCAGGGUAUCAUCAAAUCCCGAUCCAUCCCGAUGAUCAAAGCAAAACCACUUUUACAUGCCCUUAUGGAACUUAUGCUUACCGUAGAAUGUCUUUUGGGUUAUGUAAUGCACCAGCUUCUUUUCAAAGAUGCAUGAUGUCUAUAUUUUCUGAUAUGAUUGAAGAGAUUAUGGAAGUUUUCAUGGAUGAUUUCUCUGUUUAUGGAAAAACUUUUGAUAGUUGUCUUGAAAACUUAGACAAGGUUUUGCAAAGAUGUGAAGAAAAGCACUUAAUCCUUAAUUGGGAAAAAUGUCAUUUUAUGGUUAGAGAAGGAAUAGUGCUAGGACACUUAGUGUCUGAAAGAGGUAUUGAGGUAGACAAAGCUAAAAUUGAAGUAAUUGAACAACUACCUCCACCUGUGAAUAUAAAAGGAAUUCGAAGCUUUCUUGGCCAUGCUGGUUUUUAUCAUAGAUUCAUAAAAGAUUUUUCAUUUAUUGCUAGACCACUUACUCUUUUGCUAGCCAAGGAUGCUCCUUUCGAAUUUGAUGAUGCAUGUCUAACAUCUUUCAAUUUAUUAAAGAAAGCACUCAUCUCUGCACCAAUCAUUCAACCCCCUGAUUGGUCGUUGCCUUUUGAAAUUAUGUGUGAUGCUAGUGAUUACGCUGUGGGGGCAGUAUUGGGACAAACUAAAGAUAAGAAGCAUCAUGCAAUUGCUUAUGCCAGUAAAACUUUGACAGGAGCUCAACUUAAUUAUGCAACCACUGAAAAAGAGCUUCUGGCUGUUGUCUUUGCCAUAGAUAAAUUUAGAUCUUAUUUAGUUGGAGCUAAAAUAAUUGUUUACACUGAUCAUGCUGCAUUAAAAUAUUUGCUCACUAAAAAAGAUGCUAAACCUCGCCUGAUUAGAUGGAUUUUAUUACUCCAAGAAUUUGACUUAGAAAUAAAAGAUAAAAAAGGAGUAGAAAAUUCUGUUGCUGAUCACUUGUCUAGAAUGUAUUUUAAGAGUCCACAGGAAACCCCCAUCAAUGAUUCACUCCGGGACGACAUGCUCUACGGGAUUAACAGGUCUGACCCCUGGUAUGCAGAUAUUGUUAAUUUUAUAGUUUCAGGGUAUGUACCACCAGGAGCAAACAAGAAGAAGCUUAUUCAAGAAAGUCGUUCACAUAUAUGGGAUGAGCCAUACCUCUUCCGAGUGUGCUCUGAUGGCUUACUCAGGAGAUGUGUGACCACUGAGGAAGGAUGGAAGAUCAUCGACAGAUGUCAUUCAUCACCAUAUGGAGGUCACUAUGGAGCAUUCCGUACACAUUCAAAGAUCUGGCAGUGUGGAUUCUAUUGGCCUACAAUGUAUGAAGACACGAAGCAAUAUAUCAGAAGAUGUGGGCCAUGUCAAAGACACGGAAACAUAAAUACAAGGGAUGCAAUGCCACUCACCAACAACCUUCAGAUUGAGCUCUUUGAUGUCUGGGGAAUAGACUACAUGGGUCCAUUUCCUCCAUCAAAGAAGUGUGAGUACAUUUUGGUGGCAGUUUAUUAUGUCUCCAAGUGGGUAGAAGCAUUACCGUGCAAGCAUGCCGACAACGUCAGUUCAAAGAGGAUGUUUGAAGAAAUCAUAUUUCCAAGGUUUGGAGUUCCCAGAGUAGUGAUAAGCGAUGGAGGAGCACACUUCAUCGACAAACGCUUCAAGCAAUACCUAUCAAGACAUGGAAUCCGUCACAACGUCGCUACUCCUUAUCAUCCUCAGACAAGUGGCCAAGCAGAGACUUCCAACAAACAAAUCAAGAAUAUUCUUCAGAAGACAGUAAAUGAAAUGGGAACGGCGUGGAAAGACAAGUUACCCGAUGCACUCUGGGCAUACCGGACAGCAUACAAGACCCCAAUCGGAAUGUCUCCAUACCAAUUGGUAUACGGGAAGACUUGCCAUCUACCUGUUGAACUAGAGUUCAAAGCACACUGGGCCAUAAAGAGAUGGAAUAUGGACCUAGAUGUUGCUGGAGAUUAUAGAAAAAUGCAACUAUCAGAAUUGGAAGAAUGGCGAGAGAAGGCAUAUCACAAUUCAAAGAUCUACAAAGAAAGAGUCAAAAGGUGGCAUGACAAGAGAAUCAAGAAGAACGAGUUCACACCCGGAGAUAAGGUAUUACUUUUUAAUUCCAGGGUAAAGCUUUUCGGGCAUGGAAAACUCCGGAGCAAAUGGGAAGGACCAUUCAAGGUAAUCAAUUCAUCAUCCCACGGAGCUAUCACACUUCAAAAUAGCGAAGGUACGUUAUUCAAGGUAAAUGGUCAACGUCUUAAAUUAUUUUUAGAGCCCAAUGAAGAAUUUGAAGAAAUAGACGUAGUCCAUUUUUACCUUCCCAUGGAGAAUUAGAGCCCGACACUUUUGGUCUGAUGGUUUUGGGUCAUAUAUAUAUUUUUCUAAAUAAUUUCGCAUCUAGAAACACGCUCGGAGAAGUGGGCCCACAGAGGGGCCAGAGAGAGGGCGGGCGCCCAGGUCAAGUGGGCGGGCGCCCUGCCCCUGUUCCCCCUCGGUCCCGACUUUCUCUGUUAUGGAAAAUGCACUUAUGGUAAUUCGAAUAAUCCCUCGGACGGAAAGUUUCUCACGCACAUCGACGGGAGUAACCCGAACAACCCAUAGAGGCAUCCUUUUGACCCCUAUAUAAACAGACCCCUGACCUCAGUUUUCAAACACCAAGCCACCAAGCUUUCUCUCCUUCAAUUAGAGCUUGAUUAGCUCUCCUUCAAUUAAAAUUUUAUUAGUUCCUUGCUACUCCAAUGGCCGACAAGUACCACGACGAUUGGGAAGUCGUCCCCUUCAACCUCAACAUGGAGCCAGUGGAAGACCUCGAUGCCCGUGCUCUCGUCCCAGCCAACACAGAGCGUCAGCUAGAAGCCAUGCCAUUACGUCAACGUAGCUCUGCCCAAUCUUACCAUGCUCAACCAGUUCUCACCGCACCACCACAACCCCUACUCCUCAAAGGAUCAUCAUCCAAAACGAAGACCACUAUCAAGGUGCCAGUCGGCACAAGGAUCCUUCCACCUAGACCCAAUGAGAGGGUCGUUGGAGUCAAGACCAACCGGAGCGGCGAGAUCAGCAGCGUUCGCUACACUACGGAGGAGGAAAGGCCUUACUUUGAAGGGAUUAGAGCAGCCAAAGUCCGUUUCAUCCCUCCAAAGGCAGCCCCGAAGCACUCUCUCAAUGCUUUUGAGACACCUCCCAAGCGUCGCAAGACUAUAAUGGAUAUUGAUGAGGAAGUUCGCAGGCUAGAUAGAAUUAUUAUAGAUCUCUAGUCCUCGAUUAAUUCCCUCACUAGGCAGCUCUCUAACCACAACACCAUUAUACUAGGCCUGAGGCAGGAUCUUGCCAGUGCCAACAAGAAGAUCAAGGAAUUAGAGCGCCGCUAAGUUAUCUAGAUUAGACCUUAAGGCAAUGCAUCUUAGUCAUUUAUCUUUAAAUUCGGUUUAGGUUUACUAUUAUCAUCAGUUUACUAUUAUUAUCAGUUUGCUAUCAGUUUGUUAUCAGUUUUUUGUAAUAAAUGCCUCAAGAUCAAUAAAGAGUAUUACUAUUAUUAUUAUGUCUUGUGUGUCUCUACUUUAUUUUUGUGCAAGAAAGCAGAAAACAAGUAUGGGGGAGAUCCCUCGACAUGCCAACCACACUCCGAUUACACCACUCCACCACUCAGGUACACACUCUGCACACUUUACUUUACACAUACAUUUAUUUUGGAUUAUGCAGAAUAUUGUUUCCGACAUGAUAAAUUAAAAAGAUUAAAAUAUUUCUAAUCAUGAUUAAUCUCAAUCUGUGAUAUUUCCUGAAAACUUGCAAUUAUUGGGAAUCAUUUUAAAACCCUGUGUUACUUAAGUCAAUAUGGAAUAUGUGAUGGUAGAGUAUGAGUUUCUUAUUCUUGAUAUCAUUGUUACUUGGAGAACUUAUUUCAAAAUAUUCAAAUUUCUAGCUACCAUCCUCAGUGUUUUAUAUGCCUGAUAAGACUGAAAUAUUAAUUAUGAUUAUAAAAGCUAUCUGCUCUGUAUUGAGUUUGUUCAAAAUGAGUUAGACCCUUGUUGAGAGAUUUAUCAUGCUCCCAAGAUCAAGACAUUAUUUCAGUAAGAUUCACUCUUCCGAAGUAUUAUUGCAUUAGAGGCAUGGGCUAUGCAAAAAUAGAAGAUAUUUCGAGGAAAUAAAAAGGAGCAAGUGCUCGACAACCUCGCAGAAAAAAAAAUGGACAAGUGUCCGGCAGUAGAAUUAGGGGUACCUCGGUAUCCACUUAAAAAAAAGAGAGAAAAAAAAUGAUAGCCCAUGGUCCCUCUAAUAAGCAAUAUGCCAGCAAGAGUUGACAAAGUUUUUAAUUUCUAAAGUCUUUGAUCUAAGAGUAUGACAUUCCCCUCCUCGGAUCCCGUUUUGAUCAGGCAAUAAAUGCAAAGUAAGUAUGCUUGAGAAUUUUUGCAAAAAUUAAAACAGCCUCAGUGAGAUAUAUAUAUAAAAGAUAAUGAGUGAUCUGAGAGAACCUAUGAGGAUAAAAAGGUAUGCUAAUUUUCUUUCAAAAAUAUACAAAAACUCCAAGUGACAGGAUUGAGAAGAAAGGAUCUUUACUCUUAACCAUAUACUUCCCUGACUAUGGUACACAGUGGAAUUUUUAACACCCUGCAAUUAUAAAGAGAAUGUUUUAAAUGUUUACCCCAGAUAUUAUUCUCAACCAUCCUUUUCUCGAGGACGAGUAAAAGCCUAAGUAUGGGGGUAUUUGUUGACGGUUCUUAAGUAUCAAUUUUAAUUAUCAAAUAAACAAGGGAAAGGACCAAUAUGCAACCAUCACCUAGAAUUAGGGUUUGAUCUAACAGAAUUCCACGAGUUUUGUUGUUUAUCUGUUUCUGCAGGGGGUUAUCAGGAAAUAAGGAAGAAAGGCCCACAUGUCGGGAUUACAUAGAGAUAUCAACGCACCGCGCAAUUUUACAUCAUCUAGAAGACUCCAGAAGCCACGAGACCGAAGCGGAGGCGAAGCUGGGCCAGGCCCAGGGCGCCCGCCCUGGUAGCCUGGGCGCCCGCCCCCCUGUUGGAGCCAAUUCAGGACUCCUUCGCUCGGGAUAUUCCACCGACCUAUUGGAUCAAGAAAAACAUAGUACCACCUCGCCUAUCGACCCAAAAACGCAUAGAAGGGGAGGACUAUAUAAGCAAGGCCCCCCUGGCCCCUGGAGGACAGGAAGAAAUUAUCAUAGAGACUGAGGGGUGCCCUCGAAGGAAAACCUCUUCUCUAAUUAAUAUUUCUUUUUAGGCUUAGCAAUCAAUGUAAGGUAGAAAUAGAUCUUCUAGUUUCUACUAGAUUGAGAGAGAUAGAGUGGAGGUGUAGAGUGGAGGAAGCCCGGCUUGUCGGUGUCUACUCCAAGCUUGUACCUGCGGGAUCAAGUUCUCCUAACCCGAAGCUUGCUCCUAGGAUUCUUCAGUAAUUCGACUUCUAAAUUCUAGUAAGUUCUUGUUUUAUUGUUCUUAUGGUUUAUGAGUUUACUUUAAUCUCUUCGCGUAGAGUUUAGAGUAAUCAUUGCUGGCGUAAACGUGGUGUUUAGGCUGGGGUACUCAUAGAUAUUCCCUGACUAGCUGGACCGUGGUAGUAGUGAGGAACGUGACAUUUCCGAGCUACCUUUGUAGAUCACAUCUCGUUAGCAGGAAGGAUAGGGUUUAUAGGUGCGGGUCGAACAUCCUUUGUGUUGUCUAGAUUCCGUUAGCCUCCCCAUUAGAACAAUAGAUCAUCCUUACCAAGGUUAGAAGGAGACUACGGUUGCAGUCUUCUCUAUUUAUCACUCACAUCGAAAGACAUUCUUUGUGCCUAAAGGUUAGUAGUAAUAGACCGGUUAGUCAGAUGCACUCUUUCUCCUAGUGGUAAAAAAAUAAAUACGAUACUCUGGAUAAUUUCCCGGGUGAAGUGCUCACCGAUAUCCGUGCGCUUGCGGAUCAAUUCCUUAUUGCGUUCCCAAAUAUCAACACUAAGAACAAAGAUUAAAGGACUAAACAUGUUAAAUUAAUUGGGUUAGUUAACAUGUUUGUCUCUUUAUUCACGUGAACGCCAGAACCAAGGAGAAGCUUAUAAAAGUGAUAGUCAAGUACCUUAAGAUAUUACCUUACUUGAAGAGUGAUGGUACAGUAUCACCUUGUGGAAGCUUUCCUUUCUUAGCGGUUGUGCACCGUAUUUGUGGCACUCUUUGUCUCGUUCCAUGGAUCAUCUCUCUAUGAUGAAUGAGCUAUGUCUUCCUUGUGCAAAUCGUUAAACUUCAUGUGUCUCCUUUGUCUCCAAUGUGAGUUUGUAUCUCAGGACUUCCCAGGUUGAUAUUGAAAGUUUUCCUGCAGGGGUUAGUCCAACAAAAUAUACCAAUGUCUACUCAAGCAGUUUUUGGUUCAGUAACCAAACUAGACUCCAUGUCUAAUCAGAUUAAGGAAGGCUAUUUAACCUAAGCACCAUGCUUAAUUUAAAUGCCAAUGGAAGUAUGUUGAGUACUUCCAAACCAACACUUGCUUGCGAAUAGACAAAGGUAGCAUGACAGCAUUUAUAGAGAUCUACUCAGGUGGAGAUGAAAAAUAAGUUAGUGUUUAGAAAAAUUGAGCAUGCCUCAAAAGUAGGGACAACCAACAUAGCAACAUGGCAAAGGAUGUUCUAAUGUAAGGUAUUUUCCCCAAGCUUGAAUUUUGCAAAGUUCAAGAUUGGAUGAAUUUAAUUCAAUGUUGCAUGAUGAUUGGUUGGGCAUACCUUGCGCUUGUCAUUCCUCGGAUCUUCUUGCUCCAAUCGUAGAAAGGUUAGUGACACGAAUGCCCGAAGGAAUAUUUCUACAAUUAUCUUUAUAUGCUCAAUACACAAGGCAAUGUUGCAAAUAAUUAAAAGUUCAUGUUACGAUCUGAUAAGUGCUUGUUUUAGGACACUAGGCUUGUCAUUGGGAAACCAUCAAAUUAUGUUGGUGAAGUGGUUUCCCCUCCAACACCAACCUAAGAGUGCCUAUAUCAAGAUUGACUCAACGAUAUCUGCAAUAUUUAUUAUAGACAUAUGCAUCGAUAACCACCCCUUUAAAGUUUUUAUAAAUAGAAAGGAAGAGGGGGUUGGAUAUCUCAAAUGUGGUAAGGUUGGAGAGACCAAAUGAUUGGGGAGAUGUUUUAUAUGAGCAAGGACUUGGUGAGGUAUUUAUGAAAUAACUUCCAUGCUCACUGUUGUUUCUCUCAUUCUCAAACUCCAAGGAUGAUUCUUCAUGAAUGCUUAAAAUUCAUCUAGGAUUGUCUCUCAAGUUUGUUUUAUCUAUCCACUCAAUAGUGAUAGCACAUGGAUUUUUAAUGCCCUCUAGCCAUUGAUGUUGCUCUUCUCGAUCCUCCUUGUGGUCUUGGUGACUCUUAUGCAUGGGAUGUCUAGAGAGAUUCAUAGGAUCAUCGGGGGGUUUAAGAGAAAGAGCAUAGUAGAAAUUAUUAGGCUCAAGGAUGUGUUUAAAGAUAGGUUUGAAUGAGUCAUCAAAAGUGGGCGUAGAAGGGGAGAAGAUGAGAUUGUCUUCUAAAUGGCUUCGCUCUCCUUCUAUUGCAUCACUUAAGAUGCCAUCCUUGAGUCUUUCUAGAUGUCCAUCAAAGGGAUUGGAUUUGAGAUGCUUUCUAAGAGAUCCCUUCUUAGGAAGGUUCAAACUAUAUGCACUCAAAGGUCUCUUAUGAAGCAGGAAGUUUAAGCUCAUCCCAAAAUGAAUUUCCAAAGGUAGAAUUAACUUCUUCCCUUAGAUGAUUUUGGAGCACUACUAGUUUGGGUUGGAUAGCCGAAUCAAGGGAUUGAAAUGUUUGGAAAUCGGCUAUUGAAACUUCCUUUCCUCGUCUGGGAGAUGAUUCCUUCUCUAUCUCUAGGAUUUUUUAUGAAGACUAGUGCAAGAAGGAUGUCUACGAAUGAAGACAUACCUUGCUUUACUAACAGAUAAGGAAAGAAAAACUCUACCAAAGGUUAUAUGAUUAAGACCAAUGUGAAAAUAUCGAGGAAAAACAUGGUCUUGUAGGGCUAGGUUUAAACCAAAAUUUAUAGAAAGAUUAAAAGAUUCCCUAGGUGUAGCUAAAAGUUUAUCUUCUUGAUUAAAAGAUAGGACCUCGGCUAUAGAAAAGGGUUGGUUUUUGACCUAUUGCAAUCAACUCCGGACAUAGAUCAUAAUUAGGGCAAAGAAAGGACUUGUUGACUCCCAUGGUCUAUGGCUGCUCUCCGAAGGUGCAAAAAAUUCAAUAAUAGGUGUGGAAUUUGAGUUAUCCAUAAGGAUGGAAAAAAAUAAAAAGAUAAAAGAAUAAAAGUAUAAAAGUAUAAUACAAGAUAAUAGCAAGACUCAAAGUUAUCCUAGCAAUCCGUCUUUCUCCUCGGCAACGGCGCCAGAAAUGCUUGUUGAUAUUUGUUAACGCCAUCAGGAAAUAAUCCGCAAGCGCACGGAUAUCGGUGAGCACUUCACCCGGGAGGUUAUCCAGAGUAUCGAAUUUAUAUUUUUACCACUGGGAGAAAGCGUGCAUCUAACUAACCAAAUCUAUUGCUACUACCCUUUAGGCUACAAACAAUGUGAUUUGAUGUGAGCGAUGUAUAGAGAAGACUACAACGGCACUCUCGUUCUAACCUUGGUAAGGAUGAUCUACUGUUCUAUUGGGGAGGCUCAUGGAAUCUAGAGACCACAAAGGAUGUUCGAUCUGCACCUAUAAACCCUACCGAUCCUGCUAACGGGAUGUGGGCUACAAAGGUAGCUCGAAAAUGUCACGUUCCUUGCUACUACCACGGUCCGGCUAGACAGGGUAUAUCUAUGAGUACCCUAGCCCAAACACCACGUUUACGCUAGCAAUGAUUACUCUAAACUCAUCUGGAAGAGAUUAACGUAAACUCAUAAACCAAAGAACAAUAAGAACAAAGAACUUACUAGAGUUUAGAAGUCGAAAUACUGAAGAAUCCUAGGAGCAAGCCUCGGGUUAGGAGACUUGAUCCCGCAGGUAGACACUGACAGGCCGGGCUUCCUCCGAUCUACACCUCCACUCUAUCUCUCUCAAUUUAGUAGAACUAAUUCUACUCUCACAUUGGAUGCUAAGCCCUAUGAGGUUGGAUCCCUAGAGGGACCUCUCUCUCUCUCUGAAUCCUGUCUGGAAAAUAUGUUAAUGAAUAAUGGGAUUGCCCUCCUCCAGGGGCCAGGGGGCCUGCUUAUAUAGUCCCCUCAAGUGAACGUGGGCCGUCGGAUCAAACCGACAUUAAUCGCAUGGUUUUUCUUAAUCCUUUAGGUCAGUGGAGCAUAAUCCGGGAGACGGGACCUGAUUGGUCUCUAUAGCAGGGCGGGCGCCCAAGGGGGGAGGGCGGACGCCCUGCCCCUAGGCCCGCUCGGCCUCCCGUUCGUUCCCGUGGCUUCUGGAGUCUCCUAGAUGACAGAAAAUUGCGCGGCACGUUAAUAUCUCUAUGUAAACCCGACAUGUGGGCCUUUCCUCCAUAUUUCCUGAUAACCCCCUGCAGAAAUAGACAAACACCAAAAUUUGUGGAAUUCUGUCAGAUAAAACCCUAAGUCUAGGUGUUUGUUGCAUUUGGAUCCUUUUCUUUAUUUAUUUGAUGAUUAUAUUUGGUACUUAAGGACCGUCAAUAGUCAGCCCAACAGCUAGCAUGGUAGAGCGUCCAACGCUCGCCUGCCUCAUCUGCUCGAUCAUUGCCACAUGUCUCUCUUUAAAUGUGGACCGUUAAUCACUAAUGGCUACUAGAACGUUAAUGCUUUGGAGAAACAGAGUGUUGGACAUGCAGUUGCUAUGCACCGGAUGUGGCAUCCGCCCACCGGACGCUACUCAAAGAGGUCUGCAAACUUGCACAAUUGUCGGACAUGUCCGACGAAGGGUCAUCGAAUGCACCGUCAGCAUCCUGUCGACGAAACCUAGUCGGCAGUCUACCUUGGGGUAUACCCACGGUAGUAGUUUAUUGGCAGACAGGUGCGCAAGCUACGAACUUGAUGGUGACGCAAGACACAGACAAUGUUUUUAUCCAGGUUCGGCCGUCGUGUGGGCGUAAUACCUACGUCCUGCAUCUGAUUGUAUUGCUAUGUGUUGCAUUGAAUUGCGUUGUGUUGUGUUGACCUGUCCUCUAGAGGACCUCUGCCCCUCCUUAUAUACUGUGAAGGGACAGAGUUACAAGCAAAGUAUCCUAUUUGGUACAAUAUCUUGUAGCUUUGCAGUGCACGCCGAUCAGCGUCGUGCGUCGCACGUCUUCAUCUUAUGGGUCGAGCCACCUCUGAUGGUGCAGCCCAUGUCGACCCAUGAGGGCAUAGGGGUUUAUACCCCCAUAGCUUGUCCCCGAGCUCCAUGUAUUAUGAUGUAACACGUCGUCUUGAGCAUCUUCGACCAGUGAGGCUUGACGUCUCUGACCAGUAGGAAAUACGCCCGAACAGUUGACACCUGAUCAACGUCGACACCGAAGAAGCAGGCUGUUCGAAUGCAUGGUGCUCUUGAGAAAAAAGAUUUCUUUCCUGGUGAAGUGUGCCCACUUUACUUUUUUGAAAAGUAUAGACUUAAAAAAGCAAGCAUAUUCACCGUAAGGUCAAGUGUGCCCACUUAAUCCCCAAGCCUGGUAGUAGGUGGCGUAGUCACGUGGUGCUAGGGUCUAAAAAAAUCCACGUAGAAAUUUUGAUGCUGAGAUGCAUCGCUAGGUGCAUCAUAACGAUGUAGUCCCCGAGCUUGCUGGAAGGCGAAGUAUGAGCCUUGUAGCAAGGUCUAAAAAAUUAAAAUUAUCCAGUCCAAUGCAUAUGUAACUGAGAAAAGCAGUCCCAAAGGUGUGGUCGGAGAGUAAUCGAAGCAAGUCCUGAGUACAACUUAGAGAGUGAUUGAUGAGUCCUCGAGCAUGGUUGGAAAUGUAAUCAUGCUCGGUGGUCAGCACAGUCCCCGAGCACGGCAUAGAGACUGGUCGGCCAGUCCCCGAGCAUGGUUGGGAACGUAAACGUGCUUUGUGGUCAGCAUAGUCCCCGAGCAUGGUGUUGGGACUGGUGGACAAGUCCUCGAGCGUGGUUGAGAAAGUAAACGUGCUCGAUGGUCAGCACAGUCUUCGAGCAAAGCGUAGAGACUAGUCGACAAGUCCCCGAGCGUGGUUGGGAACGUAAACGUGCUCGGUGGUCGGAGCAGUCCCUGAGCACAGUGUAGGGAAUAGUCGACGAGUCUCCGAGCCUAGCUUGUUGACUGGGCCAAACUCUUGAAAAAUAAAUAUAGAGAAUAGGUAGUACAUGAUGUAUAAAUAAACUCUAGAUAAAAAAUCAGCACUGAGAUAAGGUUUAGAUUUUUUGUUAUAAAAUUAGCACGAGUAAUUAAUUCAUCCUAGAGCUUGUACCAGAUCUGGUCUAGCCAACAAUCAGCAUGAGGUGCGGAACCUAGGCACGCGUAGGAUUGCCAGCCUUGCCAGAGAGCUACUGCUGACCACCCGGAACGUAGAGGACGGAUCUCAUGCACGUGGAGGGAGAAGUCGGAGACAGUGCUGGCUCUAGAAAACUCGUGUAGGAGAAAAAACUAGUCGGCUAACCAAAAAGUUGUUUUUAAAGGAUAAUAAAAAAUGUUAUGCCAAAAAUAAAUAAAAUAUUAGAGGAGUAGUUAUCUUUGGAUGAAAGUCUGGUCGGCGAUGACAAAAUUGUCUGGCCCUCGAGCUUUUUGACUUGUUGUCAUGACGGUGGUCGCGCUUGUCGUAGCGCCGUUCUUCGCGGCGAUUAUUAUUGUGACUGGUGGUUUGAGAAAGUAGGCUAAAUAACUUGGUGGAUAACCCGAGCAGGUCGGUGUCGUCGAUCUGCCUCCUUUUGUAGCAGGGAAGCGGAUGACGCGUUGUCGGCGUGGUCGGAGACAUUGCUGGAGUAGUCGGAGUCGUAGCCAGCUUGGUUGGAACCACGGCCGACGUCGAUGAAGAAGUCACUAUCGCAGAUUGGAUAUACGCCUCCUCCAUGGUCGUGGUGGUGAAGCUGUUGAAACUGACGGUGAACGUGAAGCCGCCCGCCAUGGCCGCGAAGUCGGAGAUGAUGGCCAUCUUGUUAAUCUAGGUGAGCUGUACGCACACCCCCUACCUAGCGCGCCACUGUCGACGAAAGCUGGUCGGCAGUGUACCUUGGGGUAUACCCACGGUAGUAGUUUAUCGGCAGACAGGUGCGCAAACUACGAACUCGAUGGUGACACAAGACACGGACAAGGUUUUUAUCCAGGUUCGACCACCGUGUGGGCGUAAUACCUACGUCCUGCGACUGAUUGUAUUGCUGUGUGUUGGAUUGAAUUGCGUUGUGUUGUGUUGACCUGUCCUCUAGGGGACCCCUGCCCCUCCUUAUAUACUGUGAAGGGACAGAGUUACAAGCAAAGUAUCCUAUUAGGUACGAUAUCUUGUAGCUUUGCGGUGCACGCCGAUCAGCGUCGUGCGUCGCACGACUUCAUCUUAUGGGCCGAGCCACCUCUAAUGGUGCGGCCCAUGUCGACCCAUGAGGGUAUAGGGGUUUAUCCCCCACACAUCCAGUGAAUACUACCGAAAGCUCACGUUUGCCCAUGCUGAUGUCACCUACUACAGUUGUCGAUGUCGGAUGCUCCGACGCCUAAGCGUUAGAUGCUCUGAUGUGCGAAACUGUUUUCGCCCUCACUGGCCUAUACGCAUCGGACGUGGGUCCAACAUUUGACUUUGUCUAACACGAUGUUCGAUGAGUGUUUGUUAGUGAGAAAUACUCGUGCGACUUUGCUCUUUCUCUAACCCUUGCUCAAGCAAGCUAACCACCAAGUGUUUCACCUCAUGCACAUAUGUUAGCAAGUUUUCACAAAUGUUUUCAAGGGUUAAGUUAGCCCUUUACUAGAUUCUAAUGUAUAUGCUCAAGGUAAGAACCUAGUAGCACUUGAUUCGAGAGAUGACUGUGAUUUCCCCUCUUGAUAGUUGGCUAUCUACCCUAAAUUUAGUCAACCACUUCUCUACUCAACUUAGAUCAAAAAAAGAAAAAAUCAUAUGUUUAUACCUUUGCCUUGUUCACUUUGCUUAUUGUCCAUCACCAUGAUCUCCACCUCAUGUUUCAUCUCUUUGUGAUCAUGUGUCCACCACUCUAUGUCACCUGGCUCCUUCAUCACAUGUGUUGCUAUGCCUAAAUUAAACUACUUAACACAAUAGCAUUAGCAACUUGGUGUCAUUAAUUACCAAAACCAAACUUGAGCUUUCAAUCUCUCCCUUUUUUGUAAUUGAUGACAACCAUCAUAAAGAUAUGAAAUGAAAUCAUAAUGAACUUGAAUUGCUUGUCCAAAGCAUUUUGAUCAUGAAACAAGAUUGGACAAACAUUUCAAUUUUGGUUUUGGUAGUACUAGCUAUUGAUGGUGGAUAUACCAUAGAAAUCCACACUCAAAACACCGUCAACAUGCCUUGAUUUAAGGAAGAAUAAACAUAACAUGAACAUAUUUUAUUAAUAACUAAUUCCACUUGUACUCCUAGCUUCUAAUUGUAGGUAACACAAAACCAAGCUCAGGAGGUCCCACAUAGGGGGCCGCUCGACCCCCCUAUGGGCCCACCUUGGCUUGAGCUUUUGAGCACAAUCUGUGUCAAGGUCCCCAAAGUCCAUUUUUACCCUCAGAUCAACCUAUGUUUUCAUUUAAUGGUGAAAGAUCAUUGCAUAUGGAUCUAUGGGCUCACAAGAAAGCAAGCAACAUGACAAACACUUAACAAUUGGUGGAGCCACUUCCUGGAUAGAUCGGGACACCUUCUAGAAGACCCUAGCUAGGCCCACCUACUAUAAGUGGGGUCGGUCGACCCCCUUGGUGCCCAGCUAGGUCGGUUGGCUCCCCAUUGACUUAAGCAUGUCUCUCAUGUGAUGGUUUCACCACUGUCGUCCAUUUAAGGUGGUUCGCAAGGUCGGUUUGUCCAAGGGCCAAGGUGGAGAAGCACAUGGAUCAAUGAUGUGGUGGUGGCGUAGCCUCUACUUCACCUUCCCCUAUAAAUAGAGGCUGCCUCCAUCCUUGAGAAGCAUCCCCAAUAUCACCAAGUCCUCAAGUCUCUAAUCUUCAUAUCUUAGGAGAUCAAGAAGCAAGAGUAGUAGUAGUUAGUCUAGAGUGAGAGUUAGAGUCAAGUCCAGUGAAGCUUGAGGUCUCUGGAGUCGUCUUUUGGAGAGUCUGGUAUAGCUCGUACCUUUUCUUUGUUGUAAGACUUUUCCUUUAUUAAUAUAUUACUUACUUUACUUUACUCAGUGUUUACUUAGUAUUUACUUAGUGCAAGUCUAUAUUCAUUAUAGUCUUGUUGUGCACUGUCUUAGCAAUAUAGUUGUCCUAGUUAGAUUGGUUUCCUAUAACAACUCCUUAUGUGUGCAUCAUCGCCCUAUCUCUGCAUAGAAGCUUUAGUUAUCUACGCGUUGGCUAGAGUUGUGAUAGUAAUUGUGAGCUUGGUGCUCAGACUUAGUCUUACCUUUGGUUGUCGCUGGUCUACAUAGGCAGUGCGUGGGUGUUGGCAACAGGUGACAGAUCUUACCCAACUUUAUAGUUUUCUCAUGAUGUUCAAGCAAGUUCUUAAAAGGCAAGGCAUCCAUAAGCCAAGUAGUCGCUUUAGUAGUGGUUCUGUCUUCUGCUAUCUCAGCUAUCCCUCUUACGCAAGUAGUAAGGCACCAGUCUAGUUAUGUCAUCUAUGUGUUAAGAUUAAGUUCAUAGAAGUAAAGUUAGAUACAUAGGAGUCCUUUACUCACUCAUUGUCCUCCCACCAAGCUAACACUUUACUAGUUAUCUUUAUAUCAGACUCUUUGCUAUCUCAUUUACCUAUCCUUCCUAUAAUUCAUUUACCCUCCUUCUUCACUAGUUGAUACUAGAUUGUAGUAGAUAUAAGGAUCUCUCUCCCCUUUUAUUAAAUAUUACUACCUACUACUUUCCCUUGGGAUAAAAACAAAUAACAAUACCUUGGAAUACUCAUCCUCGGUGAAGUGCUAAAUCUGUACAUUCUAUGCACUUGCACAAUAAUUUAAUAGACAUAAGAAAUACCCCACAUGCCUUUGUAGCACUGUUGCCAAUCUUUAGUAGCGACGUUAAUAAUUACCAACAAAUAUUUCUAGCGCCAUUGUCGGGGAUGGAUUUUAAACUCUAUUCUUAGUAGCGACGCUAAGAAUUAUCAACAAGCAUUUCUGGCGCUGUUGCUAAGGAUAGAUCUAAAACUCUAUUCUUAGUAGUGACGCUAAGAAUUGUCAACAAGCAUUUUUGGUGCCGUUGCCGGGGAAACUGUAGGAAUUUUAAUAAAAGUGAAUCCAGAGUCUACUCUUGGUCUAGUUAUCAAUUAGUGUUAGGGGCUUACCCCUCACGUGUCUUGUUUUUUGUUAUCGUGAAACUAGAAGGUACAUGAGUGGUUUCCAAUUGUCGUCAAACUUUGUUGUAGAUCCUGAGCAGUUGUUAAGGAGAACUAGACGUCGUCAAGUUCCACCUCAUAGGUUCAUCUCAGAUCUGAAUCCGCUUGAGGAAGGAGGCUCCACAGCAAUCAUUAAGGAAGCUAUGGCCCAAAAGACCAUCUCUGAGUACUCUGCACCAUCAGCUGACUAUGUCGCCAUGGGUCCGCAGCUUAACAUGGGGGUUGCGACUUUUAGCUUAAGUCGACACUCACAAAUAUGGUGCAAGCCAACCCGUUCUGUGGGAAGCCACACGAGGACACCAAUACCCAUCUCCAACCCGUUCUGUGUGGUACCUUCACCAUCAAGAAUGUCUCCAUAGACGCCGUGUCACAGAAUCGACCAAAUUAUAAGAGAUCAAGGGUAGAAAUGAUCGCAUAGACAAUCAAGUUUCCAAACUUGAGCCCAUAUAAUCCUGGUAGUCAACUGAAAUCACGAAGGAUUUCCAACAAACUUCGCAACAAACCAAGAUCUUAAUAGUUCAGCACAACACAACGAUUAUUACAUAGUUCAUUCACGGUCGACGAAGCGACACCACAUCGGAGUUACUUAAGUUAUUACAACACAAGUUUAAAGUAGCAAAAGCAACAUAGUUUUCACACACAUAUUACUGGUUCUUGUUACAGCCAGAGUCUCAUCAUAUCCACCAAAAGCAUCAUAAAUACGAAGUCAUUAGAGAACCGUACCCAACGGUUUAGUCCUCAUCCCUGCAGGGUGAAGACAGGUCUUGUAGAAACUGUCAUAGAAGAUGUCAUCUGCAACAAGUAGGAAUAAACCCUGAGUACGAGGAUGUACUCAACUAGACUUACCCGUCUAACGACACAUAAAAGACACCAAGGAUUAUACAAGGCUGAGUAUAAAGUGGAGCUGGCUUGACUCAUGUUAUUUGCCAAAGAGCUUAAAUUGGAUAGUAAAUCAUUCUUAUUAGCAUCAUAUUGAUUAUCAUUAGCCUAUCACUAGAUUAGCAUCUAGACUAAGCACUUCACUUGAUUAUUACCAAACAAUAAUAACCAUAUCAAAUUUCAACAUAUGUUCUUUCUUGCUAUCCUCAACAUCAUCAUUAAAGAACCAUUAAGUACUUAGUAAAUGCUACGUUUGCCGCUGCUCUAUCAAGUUCUCACUAUCUGGGAGAGACGGUGUUGACUGUCCUUAAGUAUCAAAUUUAAUUAUCAAAUAAAUAAAGAAAAGGAUCCAAAUGAAAUCAACAUCUAGACUUAGGGUUUUAUCUGACAGAAUUCCACGAGUUUUGGUGUUUGUCUAUAUCUGCAGGGGGUUAUCAGGAAAUAUGGAAGAAAGGCCCACAUGUCGGGAUUACGUAAAGAUAUUAACGUGUUGCGCAAUUAUCUUACAUCUAGAAGACUCCAGAAGCCACGAGACCGAAGCGGAGGCGAAACGGGGCUAGAGACAGGGCGCCCGCCCUGCCCCUGUGUCCAAUCAGGACUCUGCUUUGCGGGAGAUCUCCACCGACCUAAAGGAUGAAUCUAAACCAUACAAUCUAUGUCGGUUUGAUCCAAGGGCCCAUAUUCACUUGAAGGGACUAUAAAACCAGACCCCCUGGCCCCUAGAGGAGAGAGCCUCUCAACCCUAAUUCAUUGUUCCAUCAAGGGAGAAGAAGCCUCUCAUCAAGAUUAGAGCCACCACAUCAAUUAGAUAUCUAGAUUAGCAUAGCUACAUAGGAUUAGAACUAGAAGGAGUCAAUCUUCGAUUGGUUUCCGGAUCUGUCAGGAGGAUUCUUGGUAAUUCUCUAAUUGUGCUUCUAAUUGCUUUCUAAUUAUCUUUGUUCUUCAAUAUUAUGAAUAUGACUUUGUUCUACUUCAAUAUAUUGCUUAUGACUUUGCUCUACUUGUUUAUAUUCAAGAUUAUAUUGUUCUUAGUUUAUCAUAGUUAUGUACUUGGCUUAGUUAGAUACGAUCUAUAUACAUGCUUAGGAUCGUAUAGCGUUUAUCCAUCGGAUCCAUGGGUAAAUGAUAGAUAUUGUGUAGGCGUGGUGCUUAUACCAUAUUUAUCUGCGAUUGUACCCAAUAUGCCAGAUCGUGGGGUGGUUCGUGAUAGUGACAGCUUCAUUGAUUCUUAUAUAGUCCCCCUCUCGUGUAUUGGGCUGGCAGAGCAACAUUAUUACAGGGGUGUGAUUGCUAUGUUUCUCAUAUUCCUUGCUAAUAUCACUAUGCAUGGGCGUAGUCUUGUCUCGCAAUGAUUGCUAAGUAUGCUUGCACUAAUUAUGAUAAUGCUAGACUAUAUAGUUGAGAAUAACUUAGGGAAUAUUCUUGUAGUUCAUUCUAAUACCAUGCUAAUGACUUUCUAGAGUAUCUAAUUGAGGUGCUUAUCAUAUUUAUUAUGUGGCUAGAUCAGAUUAGUUAUCCUUGUCACUAUUAUUAUUUCAUAUAUCUUUUAUGUGACACUUAUCCCUGUAUGAAGAGUUAGAUAUAAUGUUCUCAAUUAUACAUGCAAUGAUAGAUGCUCAAUCUCAUAUUCUAUUCUGUAAUCAAUAGUGAUGAUUGCUAAUCCCUUCCCAGUGGUAAAAAUAUAAAUAACGAUACCUGGAAUACUUCCCGGUUAAAAUGCUGCAUCGGUAUUAAUCUGUGCGCUUGCAGAUCCCAUUCAUUAUUUAUUUAGAAGAGCAAUUGCAUAUUUCAAUACCGCGUCUCUUAUAUCAUGCUGGGGAUGACAACUUGGCUUAAGUGGUGUGAGGGAUAGGUUUGGCAUUUUUGGCACCGUUACUAGAUUUAGAGAACUUAGUCUACUUUUAGUAAUGAUGUUAAGAAUACCCAACAGUCGGCGAUUCGAAUCGAUUCCUAUCCAGCUGGAGGGUUAUUCCUAGCACUCACCCAUGCAUCCCCCAUCGGAGAGCAAGCGGGUCACCUUUGGUACAACUCAGGAAUCGCGGCUCCGAUCAGUGCCGCAAUCCCAGGGCUGCCACUCUGUCAGAAAGAUUAGGACUUUUAAAUCACCUGCCCUUGGUCUUAUGCCAAUGGCUCCCGCACACCGCACUUCCUCUGGUAGUGCGCACUUUAUACUUACCGGUCUUCUGGCCUGAGUCAUACUACUAGGCUUCGUGGUCGGAACGAGUUAUCCGGCCAACUAAGUGUCAGACAUGCGUUCAACAUGACAAGAGGACAUACAACGAUCGGUCCUUAGCUGCCACAGGCGGAGUUACUAUCACCUUGCAAAACUCUGCCCCACUUAAGUCAUAUUAAUCAGGUUCUUUUCCCAUGAUAGCAAAUAUAGCCAACCGUGAUCCAACAACAGACCCUAUUUCGCGUAGGUGACAGGAUAUCACCCGACUUCUACCGAUUAAAGCAUGGCUAAGCUACUACUCGAUCCUGACUCUAUACCAAGGUAGGGUAAGAUAUCUAGACAAGGGAAGGUAUAAUGCAGAAAAGGUUCCAUCACAACUCCUAUAUGUAAUGCAACAAUAGAUAUAACAUAUUCAAUCAUGCUUUGAAAUUAAGUGGGAGACUUAAGAUGCUCCAGGGCUUGCCUUUCAUGAAAGAAGUGGGCUCGUGACUAGGGCAGUCGACUUCCUCUUUGGGCUCCUCGGGUCCUGCUGGCUAGACCUCCCUCUCCUGGGUGACUUCCGGACCUUCUGGAUUCACCCUCUCGAGCUCGAACGAGGCUGCGAUCUCCGGUACACCUAUUGCAUGCACGCUAUGAGUGAGGAAUGUAUGCAUACGAGGAAAAUGAUGAAUUCUUGACACAAACAUGGUUACACACGUCACUAGACACUAAUUUACGGAGUAAGUUUACACAAGAGUACCACCACAACUAACAAAGACACACUAACUUACACAAUUAAUCAGCAACUACCAACAGCAGGGCAGUCCGAAGAACAACUCAUAACUGGAGAUACAUAACUCCAAAAGACAUGAAUUAAGACAUUCUGGAAAGCUUAUGAAAUUGUUUACAUUUCAUCUUUAAACAUCUCAACAAGAUUCGUAAGUUAAACAAGUCAAUUAAACAAAGUUCCAGGUUCUGUCCCAGAAAAACAGAGAGCACCUAGUUCUGGAACUUCACUUGGAAAAGCUAUAACUCUUAAACUACUGGGCCAAAUCACCCCAAAUUUUAACUACAGCAAGAAUACAAAGUUUAGAACAACUUUGGUAUAGACAAGUCUUCCAGAAAAUGAAACUAACAUCAGGCAAUAAUCAGAUUAGUCCCUGGCUGUCUAGAACAGUUAUAAAGCCUUUAAUUAAUUAUUUGUUGACAUAGCAACGACAUAUUUAGUGCCAACCAAGUGACUCAUAAGAACAAACAUGACGUAAGAUUACCAGAAAACCACAUGUUAACUAAUAAACCCUCAAUUAUAAAGCCUUUAUGAAUUUAAUUCCAUUUAAGAGCAUAAUUAAGAGAUACCAGUAAGAGUGCUCAGAAAAAUCUACAAAAAUUACAGAAGCUCAAGCAAGACACCUAGACAUCACCAUAAAAUUUUCAGAGCAAAUGCACAUGCCAAACUUAGGAUAUUUAAUUAGCAUGUAACAAGGUGCUUAUUAUAUAAAUUAAGAAACUUGGGCUAAAUAGUGUCAAACAACAGAUUUCAGAUUAUUUACAUGCUAUUACUACCAUAACCCUACUUGACACCAAAGAAGAACACCAGCACAAGCAUACAACUUUUAAUAUGAUUUAAACAAGGAUUUAAGCAAUAACACUAACAUUAAUUACAUAUCAGAGAUACAUUGCUUCAAAAAUCAUGAAAUGUUUACCAGAGCAUACUAGUACCAAACAAAGCAUAGCAUAAAAAUUUCACAGCAUUUGGAGCAGUAUAUCAAGAGAUAUGAAUUUACUUUGAAAUAACAAGAUUAAUUCAUAACAAUUAUUUUUCACAGAAAACAUGACACAUUUUAUUUUUUUAUUAAAAACUAGUCAUCUCAAAGAAUGCCACAAAAAAUUGUUUCACAAUUUUUGGAGCUCAAGAACAGGAGAUAUGAUUUUUGCAAGAUUGUACAAAAUCUAGAAUUUGAAUAAAAGAAAGGAGGGAAACGUUGAGUCACUGACAGCGGGAGCCAUGCGUCAGUGUUGUCUUCCUCGCGCAGGAAAAGCUUCCACCGGCGAUUUCUCGCCGACGGUGAGGUUCCCGGCCAAACCAAGGGCACUGGAGUGUUCCCCAGACCAAGGCGCAUCGAAUGGACCUACUUAUCCCAUGGCGGAGCCAUCGGAGUGGACUCGCCGUCGAUCAUGGCGGCUCGGCCGAGGUGUCCGACGGUACGCCGUAGCUCUCAGGUUAGUAGAGCAUGAACUAAGGAGUCCUACAGCUACGGUGAGUCACGGUGGAGCUUCCCAUAUGGAGAGCUAGGCCGGAGAGGGCUCAGGCGAGCCUGGCCACGUGCGGGUGGUGCUCCGGCGAGAGCACGGCGGCGCUGCGCUGCCGUUUUCAUCGUCGGUGAGUGCGAUAGAGAGCUCGACGGUUGGCUCACUAGUUAGCUAAGAACCUAAGCUACCCAGAGAUACUAACCAGAGAAGAAAAGAGGCUCCGAGGAGCUCAGCAUUGAGUUCGCCGGAGAAAACUGUUCCGGCGACCCGAUUUGGGGAAAGCGGAAAUGUGGGCUCACCGGAGGGUUUCACGGCGAGCUAGGUGGUGGAGAUGGAAGAGCAGGGCUCGGCGGAGCUGCUGGUAAACUCUAGUGGAUGGUGGUGCAGCGUGGAGCACGCUCGAGCUCGUAGGAGUGAGCCCGACAAUGGUGACUCCGCUGCCGUCGCGUUUCUGCGAGAGAAAGGAGAAAGGGAGAGAAUGAGCGUGUCCAGGAGCUCGAGGAUGACGUCGUGGAGGUCAUGCACGCCCUCAACGCUGAUGAGUGGGGCUAGGAGCGGUGUACGGGCACCAAAUGGCGAACAGAUGCUGCCGCCGGUCGGCCACGUCGGCGACUGAAGCCUCCCAUUCAGAACUCGAUUUAGUGUGUGACAGAGCUACUUUGCCGGCAAUUAACUCCCAAACCGUGGCAAAUUAGGAGAUGGUGUAGUUUACAAUCUUGGAGUACUAACUGAGUUCUACAAGUUUGUCAACUGGAGCAAAAGCCAAAUUGGCCUGGAUGAAAAGAUAUAGAGCUUCCAAAAACCUUCACACAAACUUUUGGCGCCAGGACUUAGCAAAAUUUUGCUAAGUGUCAAAACAACCCCCAAUUCUGCCUUGUCAGCCCCUUUUGAGCAAGUUGUGAUCAUUUUCAUGAGAUGGCUAUAAAACAACUUUUGCUCCUUAUGAAAUUUGCUACAAUGUUGUUUUAGAAAGUUUUGACAUGCAAACAUUUUAUGAACCACUUUUUAAAAGCCUAAGCAAAAGAGGUUUAUGAGCCCCCUUAGCGAAACCAUGACUUAGAAGCAUAAUUAGAGGAUAUGAUCAACAGGAACAUUGUUCCAAAGGUUGAGUUAAACAAAUUUAAACCACUUACCAAGGUCUAAAACACAUACAAGGGCAUGUAAUAAUCAAACACAAGCAUAUAAAGCAUAAAUAAACAAGUUAAGCAACAUCUACACAUAAAAUGACAUGUCCCAAGGUAAAUGAUAAUCAUGGUAUGCUUAUGAAGAUGAUUAUGCUCAUGUCAUGCAUGUGAAAGGAUGCAACCAUAACACAACGGUGUUACAGGCCUCCCCCUUACAAAAAUCUAGUCCCAAGAUUUGAAAGCUUACAGAUAUUCAAAGAAGGUUUUAUAAACUUCUUUUAAAUAGUCCUCUAUUUCCCAAGUAGCAUCUUCCUCCCCGUGGUUACUCCACAAAACUUUGUAGAACUUAACCACGCGAUUACGAGUUACCCGUUCCUUGUGCUCAAUGACCGCCACAGGCUUUUCUUCAUACACCAGUCUGACUUUAACUUGAUAUCCUGAACCUCCAUUCUUUCUUCCAGAACACGAAGGCAUUUCUUUAACUGAGAUACGUGAAAAACAAGAAAAAUAGCUCGUAGCUCGAACGGUAGUUGAACCUUGUAAGCCACUUUCCCUUUCCUCUCAAGAAUCCGAUAAGGUCCCACAUAACGGGGUGCAAGCUUUCGCUUGACUCCAAACCUUUGUACACCCUUCAUCGGAGACACCUUGAGAUACACAUGAUCCCCGACUACAAAGUCAAUCGGUUUUCUUCUCUUGUCGGCAUAACUCUUUUGACGAGCUUGAGCAGCUUCCAGAUGUUGCUGGAUUGUACGGACUUGCUGCUCCACUUCAUUCAUGAAAUCAAUGUCGUAAUACCUUCGCUCCUUGGGUUCCACCUAGUUCAAUGGGGUACGACACUUUCGGCCAUACAGGGCUUCAAAAGGAGCCAUCUUGAUGCUCUCUUAGUAACUAUUGUUAUAAGAGAACUCAGCUAACGGUAACCACUUUACCCAAGACCCUUUUGAAGAGAGAGCACAUGCUCUCAACAUGUCUUCUAGGAUUUGGUUAACACGCUCAGUUUGGUCGGCCGUUUGUGGAUGAUAUGCAGAACUUCGAACCAAGUGAGUACCAAUCUGCUCGUGAAGACACUCCCAAAUACGGGCAGUGAACUGCGGUCCACGGUCUGAUAUGAUAGUACGAGGCACACCAUACUGAUGGACAAUGUGCUCGAAGUACAACUCCGCAUACUGAUGCAGACGAUACUCAGUUCUAACUGGAAUAAAGCGAGCGACAUUGGUCAAACGAUCCACAAUCACCCAGAUAGAGUCAUAACCCUUAACAGAAGUGGGGAGUCUAGAGAUAAAGUCCAUACUUACUUCUUCCCAUUUCCAACCCGGGAUUGGCAAGGGUUGAAGUAAACUUGCUUUCAUGUGAACUGCCUUCACGCGAUAACAGUUAUCACAACGAGCAACAAAAGCAGCAAUCUCCUUUUUCAUCUUUGUCCAACAAACAGAGGUUUCAGAUCCUGAUACAUCUUACUACAACUGUGGGGGUAUAAACCCCUAUACCCUUACGGCUAGACUUGGGCCAGGAGGCUUGGCCCAUUACGAGACAAGUUCGAAGCUUGAUCCGACCACUCAGAGAUUCGCGCAAGGAAACAAGACGAGGAGAUCAAGCAGGAUUCUAGUCGGUUCGAAUAGGAAUUGAUAUCGAAUUAUCUAUGGAAGUUGUAACCGACUAGGAUUAGUUUCCAGAUCUGUAACCCUGCCCUCCGGACUAUAUAAGGAGGGGCAAGGGACCCCCUAGGACACAUUAUUCUCUCAAUCCAAUACAAUCAGACGCAGGACAUAGGUGUUACGCCCACACGGCGGCCGAACCUGGAUAAAAAGCUUGUCCGUGUCUUGCGUCACCAUCUAGUUCGUAGUUUGCGCACCGUCUACCGAUAAACUACUACCGUGGGCAUACCCCAAGAUAGACUGCCGACUAGCUUUCGUCGACAGUGGCGCGCUAGGUAGGGGGUGUGCGUACAGCUUUUCCGGCGAACAAGAUGGUCAUCGUUCCAGCUUCUGCAGCCGUGCCUGAAGGCCUCACGUUCACCGUCGGCCAGAUUACGUGGACAACUCGCGGCGGUGGCCUCACGGCCACGGUUUCGGAAGAAACCCAGAUUCAAUCUGGGAUGACGGCGGCAUCGGCUCUGACCACGCAGACACUGGCACCGAGCACCCAACCACCGCUUCUGCGCUACAAGGGAAAGAAGAUCGAUGGCUCGGACCUUCUCUGAGCUCUUGAUCGCGCCGAUCUCAAGCUUCUCGAAGCUUCCCGACUAGUAGAUGGGAUCUCGCGUCAGCCUGAUCAAGCCGUGCAAACGGAUUUUUUCAACUCCUACCGGCCAACUUGUGUCGUCACACACGAACGACUGGGAACGUCUCUGACGAUAACCUCCACCCCCUCAGGACAGUCCUUCAAACUCGAGGCUGAUCCAGAUCAAGGUUAUCCUUACGGGCUGAACGGUUCGGCCGUUCUCUAUUCACGGCACAUCCAAUCCCUUUUCAACGAGGCUGGUUGGUUGCCAAAAUGGAGCGGUCGACCAGCUCGUCACUACGUCAACAUGGUGACGAUCUGAGAACUACGAGACGGCCAGGCUUCCAGCACAAACUCCAGCACUGGGUCCGUUCCCACUGAAGUCAUAAACUCCGAAGACGAGGACUACGACCGGGAUUUACCACCAUAUCCUCUGGGUUUCUCUCGCUUCCCGGUCUUUCCACCCUGGUGAGGAGACCUCGUUUUCAAUGUCAGCGGCGAUGAGUCGGUCGUUGAUGGAGAAACAAACGAACAGAGGCAGCUCCGCGAGCAGCGCAAUGCCGACCGCGCCCGACGACGCGCGGACAAGGAGCGCGAACUCCCGCCGCAUAAUCUCACUGAUGCUUUCGACAUGGUCGGGGAUCAGCAAGUCUACAAAACGCCAAGCGCUAACGUGGCUGUUGCCAUGGCCAACUUAGAUCGACUCCCUGAUACUCCCGAAUGCCAGGGCAUCCGAUCCUGCGUACGCGCACACCUGAUCGCCGUGAUGGGACAGACAACCACUCUGCUCAAAAGAGUCCAAGCUAUCUCCUAUGCAGAGGUCUCCUCCAACCAGACCCAUCGUAGCCGGACCUCAACACAACCCAGCGGGCACCACCGCAGCCGUUCCCCCAACAAUCAUCGAAAAGAUUCACGGCGUUACGAUGGCGGUCGGGAUGCUGGCGGCUACCGCGAGCAGAAUCGCGGGUGUGGUCAGGAAGUAAACCAGCACAGGGAUCUUCGAUACAACAUCCCUCCCAAAGACGCCCCGGACCGCAUCAACAGGCGCGCUACGGAGAGAGCAGUUCACGAAAACCUACGUCGUAUUGAGUACGAUGCAACGCACGGCCCCCCGGGCCUGAGACAGUUCUCCUCACACCUCUGCCAGGUCGUGUGGCCCCGCAAUUUCAAGCUUGAGAAACUCAAAAAAUACGACGGCAAGGAAAACCUAGAAAACUGGAUCACUCUAUACGAGAUCACCGUUCGGUUAGCAGCAGGAGAUGAGCACGUCAUGGCCAACUACUUCCCAGUCGUCCUCGACCAGGCUGGUCACCAGUGGCUCCUAGGCCUGCCCGAGGACUCUUUCGACUCCUGGGAAGAAUUACGCCAAGCAUUCAUCGACAAUUUCAUUGCUACCUACGAAUAGUCUGGGAACAAAUACGACCUCGAAAGGAUACGGGACAGGAAAAAUGAGCCUCUACGCGAUUACAUCCGACGAUUCUCGGAUAUGCGCCUUAAGAUCCCGAAAAUUUCCCACGACGAGGCCAUAUCUGCUUUCAUCAAGGGGCUGCGCUUCCACGAAGCACUGAGGAACAAGCUGCUGCGCAAAAGGCCAACAACGAUGGCCGAGCUCCUUGCCAAGGCUAAAAAUUACGCCGACGCCGACGACGUAGAAAAACUCAUCCGGGACGAUGCAAGAGGUCCCGACCAGCCUCCUCGGCGAGACGAUAGUCGAGGCCGUUUCGACAACAGGAACCAUUGCCGCCCCGACAACCAGGACCACAGAGAAGGCUGGGACAGGCGGCGUGACAAUCGCGAUGAUUUUAGAGGCAAGCGCCCUCGCGACCACGACCACGAGGUGAAUACGGUCAAGCGUCCCAAUGGGCGGCGAGACUACCAGGAAGACUACAAUAAGACGUUGAAGGGACCAUGCCAACUGCAUCCAAAAUCCAACCACACGAUGCAGGAAUGUCGCGUCCUAAAAAGCAUCUACACGCGGCGGGCUGCUCAAGACGACCCCGCUAAGAAAAACGGGAAACAGGACGGGCGCGAUCAUGAAGACGAGGACGACGACCAGGAUAGGGACCCACGACACCAGUAUGUCCGUCCCACAGACGUGGUCCACUCCAUCUUCGGGGGCAAGGUCUCCAUCGAGUCUAAGCGAGAAAGAAAGCCCUUAAAAAGGGCCUGCCUAAACAUAGACAGCACGGACGGCCUGAUAGCCGAUUCGAAAUUUCCUCCCUGGUCGCAUAGGGAAAUCUCCUUCAGCAGGAAGGAUCAGUGGGCCGCUAUCCCAGAGCCAGGACGUUUCCCUCUAAUCUUGGAUCCUUGCAUCAACAGCAUCAGAUUCGAGCGCGUGCUCGACGACGGGGGAAGCUCCAUCGACAUCCUCUUUCGCAAUAGCUUACCUGCCCUCAAGAUAACCCCAGCACAGUUAAAGUCAUACGAUGCUCAAUUCUGGGGAGUCUUGCCAGGUCAAAGUUCAGUGCCCCUCGGACAGAUAACACUGCCUGUCCAAUUCGGCACAUCCGACCACUUUCGAACACAGUUCGUCAACUUUGUGGUCGCCGACUUCGAUGGAACUUACCAUGCUAUACUGGGCCGACCAUCGCUCACAAAGUUCAUGGCAGUUCCACAUUACUCAUACCUGGUCCUCAAAAUGCCUACAGAGAAGGGCGUCCUAACUGUCAGGGGCAAUGUCUACACUGCAUACACUUGCAAGGAGGAAAGCUUCAAGAUCACCGAAGCAAUUGACCUUUCAAUCCGCAUGGCAGAAACAACAGCUCAAGCUGCACAGCUCCCUCCCGACCAGCUCCGACUACCCGAGCAGGAGACCACCAGGAAGAAUUCAAAGUCCAGGGAAUACAAGGAAGUACAGCUGGUCGAAGGCAGCCUCAAGAAGACGGCCCUCAUCGGGGCCAACCUGGAUCCUAAAUAGGAAGACACGCUCAUCAGGUUUCUAAGGGAGAACGUGAGCGUUUUCGCAUGGAAACCCGCAGACAUGCCCGGCGUCCCACGAAACCUGAUCGAGCACUCCUUAAACGUCUCGAAGAUCGCAAGACCCAUCAAGCAAAAGCUGCAACGGUUCACUCGUGACAAAAAGGAGGCUAUUAGGACAGAAAUAACACGGCUUCUAGCAGCCAGAUUUAUAAAAGAAGUGUAUCAUCCCGAUUAGCUCGCCAAUCCGGUUCUUGUACGCAAAAAGAAUAAUGAAUGGAGAAUGUGCGUUGACUACACUGAUCUCAAUAAACACUGUCCUAAAGAUCCUUUUGGUCUCCCUCGCAUAGAUGAGGUGGUCGAUUCAACGGCCGGAUGCGAACUCCUCUCUUUUCUAGACUGCUACUCUGGUUAUCACCAGAUCUCGCUAGAGGAAGACGAUCAGAUCAAAACGUCUUUCAUUACUCCUUUCGGUGCAUACUGCUACACGACCAUGUCCUUUGGACUCAAAAAAGCCGGAGCCACCUAUCAACGGGCCAUCCAGCAAUGCCUCCAUGACGAGAUUCGUGAUGACCUCGUCGAGGCUUUUGUAGCCGACGUCGUCAUCAAAACAAGGGAUGCAAGCACCCUAAUCGACAACUUAGACCGAACCUUUAAGGCACUAAACAAGUACAAAUGGAAGCUUAACCCCAAAAAGUGCAUCUUUGGGGUCCCCUCUGGUCUACAACUCGGCAACGUCGUCAGCCGCGACGGCAUACGACCGAAUCCUUCAAAAGUAAAAGCAGUGCUCGACAUGCGACCACCUAAGAAUGUCAAGGAUAUUUAGAAGCUCACCGGAUGUAUGGCCGCUCUCAGCCGCUUCAUCUCAAGACUAGAAGAAAAAGGCCUCCCUUUCUUCAAACUCUUGAAGGCGUCAGAAAAAUUCUCCUAGACAGAGGAAGCUGACGCUGCGUUCACCCAGCUCAAGACCUUCCUCACCUCACCGCCUGUUCUCACAGCGCCUCAGCCCAAUGAAGACCUACUCCUUUAUAUUGCAGCAACCGACAGGGUUGUCUCCACGGCAAUAGUGGUCGAGCGAGAUGAGUCAGGUCACGUCUACAAGGUCCAGAGACCCGUUUAUUUCAUAAGCGAAGUCUUAAACGAGUCCAAGGCCAGAUACCCACAAAUACAGAAGGUCAUAUACGCCAUUCUAAUAACGUCGAGGAAGCUAAAGCACUACUUCGACGGCCAUCGGGUCUUGGUAACCACCAGUUUCCCUCUCGGGGAUAUUCUGCGCAAUAAAGACGCCAACGGCAGAAUUGUAAAAUGGGCAAUGGAAUUAUGACCAUUCUCCCUAGAUUUCAAGAGCCGCACCACAGUCAAGUCUCAGGCCCUGGUCGAUUUCAUCGCAGAGUGGACGAAUCUCAACGAGCCGCCCGUUUCCGACGUCUCCGACCACUGGUCAAAGUUCUUCGACGGGUCCUUGAACAUCAACGGCGCCAGCGCUGGGAUACUUUUCGUGUCGCCUAACAAGGACAAACUGCGCUAUGUCCUUAGCAUCCUCUUUCCGGCGUCAAACAACGUCGCUGAGUACGAAGCAUGCCUGCAUGGCAUACGACUAGCCGUUGAGCUGGGAGUCAAACGCCUCUACAUCCAUGGCGACUCCGCUUUAGUUAUCAACCAGCUCAACAAGGAAUGGGACGCAACCCACGAGAAGAUGGAUCUCUACUGCAAAGAAAUCCGCAAAUGGGAAUCCAACUUCUAUGGCAUAGAGUACAUCCACGUGGUCCGGGAUAAGAACCAGGCAGCGGAUGCACUGUCAAAGUUAGGGUCAUCUCGGGCCCAGAUCCCGCGAGGCUUUUUCGUCCAGGACAUCCAUGAGCCAAGUGUGGGCACAGACCUGGUCGAAAAGCAACCUAAUGAGGCAAUGCUCAUAGACGACGCUACUCCAACAACCAGCAGCCGUGAUUAGCGCACCCCGUUCAUCAGGUAUAUAUCGAACGGGUCGGGCUUCCAGGAUAAAACGGAGAACGAGCACCUCAUUCGGCGAUCAAAGAAUUACAUACUGGUGGAUGGCAAACUUAUGUGAAAAAAUGCAAGUUCUAAAGUGCUGCUCAAAUGCAUAUCCCAAGAUGAUGGCAUCAAGCUCUUGGACGACAUACACGCCGGAUCCUGCGGCAACCACGCGGCCUCCAGAACACUGGUCGGGAAGGCUUUCCGAGAAGGUUUUUACUGGCCAACCGUGGUCGCCGAUGCAGAAAAACUAGUCCGACAUUGUGAAGGAUGCCAGUUUUUCACCAAGAGGACCAACGUACCUGCUCACGAGAUUCAAACUAUUCUGUCAUCCUGGCCUUUCGCCUGCUGGGGCCUCGACAUGAUCGGGCCAUUUAAAUCGGCUCCCGACAACUUCAAGUUCGUCUUCGUGUUAAUCGACAAAUUCUCGAAGUGGAUCGAAUACAUGCCACUGGUCAAAGCAACCUCCGAGAAAGUUGUGGAAUUCCUUAAUCAAAUCAUACACAGAUUCGGGAUCCCCAACAGUGUAAUCACCGACCUGGGCACUCAGUUCACUGGCACUACGUUCUGGGACUUCUGCGAUGACAGAGGCAUAGUCAUAAAAUACGUGUCAGUAGCUCACCCAAGGGCAAAUGGUCAAGUAGAACGCGCGAACAGAAUGAUUAUUGAUGCCCUAAAGAAAAGGUUGUACACCGAGAACGACCGAGCGCCUGGUCGAUGGAUGAAAGAGUUACCGGCCGUGGUCUGGGGUCUCCGAACAUAGGCCAGUUGCAAUACAGGCGUAUCACCCUACUUCAUGGUUUAUGGCUCCGAGGCAGUGCUCCCAUCUGAUGUAACCUUCAGAUCUCCAAGAGUUGAAAACUUCAACCAAUCAACGGCUGACAACGCUAGGGAGCUCGAAAUCAACUGCAUGGAGGAAAAGCGUCUAAUUUCAUGUCUUCGAACAGCAAAGUAUCUCGCAGCCAUCAGACGGUACCGCAACAGGAACGUCAAAGACUGUUCUUUUGUGGUCGAUGAUCUAGUACUCAAGUGGAAAACAAGCCAGGAAGGAACGCACAAGCUAUCCACGCCUUGGGAAGGACCCUUUGUGGUCGCCGAAGUCACACGUCCUACAUCCUACAGAUUGGCGUAUCCAGAUGGAACACGCGUGCCUAAUUCUUGGCACAUAGACAAACUGCACCGUUUUUAUCCAUAAGUUCCAGUACCUUUUGCUUGUAAGUUUCUUAUAAUUAGCAAUAUUAAAAGUUUUCCUUUUUCGCUAUACAUUGUUUACACGCAGAGCUUUCGACGAGCACAACAAUCUUCCUCUGCGGUGAAGAUCCUUAACGACUAUCAAUCAAACACAGUGAUACAUCACUCAGAUAACAUUACAGCGCUCAAAAUCAUGGUCAUGACAAAAUCAAACUUUAUUACAAACUUUACAUACAGAGUUUACAAUAAACACCCCGCCGGGCGGUUACUAGUCUACUCCUACAAACUAUCCUACAAGCCUACUGCUCGGGCUGAUCACCCUCUUGGCCUUGUUGCCCAGACGAAGGGGUCGGGGCCACCGGCGCCUGGAUGUUCGAGACCGCAGGCGUCGACCGCCCAUCUCCGGCAAUGGACGCCCCCGACAACUCCCUGGCCGAUCUGUCUGACCCCGACUGGUCGGGGGGAGUGGCUGUCCCGCAUAGGUUGAUGUCGCCGAUCACCGUCGACGACAAGUCUAGCAGACCAGCUCGAAGGUCGUCUGCCUCCUACUGGCCAACUUCCUUGGGGUACCCCCUCUCCAGCCUGGACAGGUCGACCAGGGGAUAGUGGGCGUGCACCAUGCUGAGGACAUGUGCGCCGGCAAACUCCCCGGCGUCCUUGACGAACUGCUGGAGCCAGUCCCACGCCCAUUGCGCCUUCUCGACUGGCGUCAGCCUCGGCGCGCGGGGCUGGUCUUCAGGAAGCUCGGGGCUGAUCAAGUCCAGAACCGGGGCUACUCCUUUCCAAAGCCUAAUGCAGUUAGUCUUCCAGGAGUCCCGAUCCUUGACCAGCUCGUCUAAAUGCUUUUUAGCAUUCACCUUGAGCACUACAAACCAAGCAGGAGGUCAGUUCAAGAACAAGGAAAGGAACGUUGAGCAACCAAAUAAAAAAAGGGGGUGGCACGGUUAUUACCAGACAGCUCCCAAUUCCUGUGGCUUAGCUCCUCGCCUGCUCGGCGCCCGGCCUCUAGCGCCCCGGCAAGCUCUUGGCCAAGCUGCUCCUUCUCUUGCCGGAGGCGCGCAACCUCCUCCUCCAAGUCUACAGGAACAAUCCCCUGGUCAACAAAACUAACCACGCGGCUAUAUAUAGCUGCUCAGAGUGCGCGACUGACCUGUCCUUUGCCGAUACUGGUCGGCUAAACACCGAGUAAGCUCGAGACGGCGCUCUUCCUGAGCACUCAUCUCGGCCACCUUCUCCCCAACUUCUGACCGAAGCCGGUCCACCUCCGCGGACAGGGCCUUGUUCUCAGCCACAAUGCCCUCAAUUUGGUCGAAGCACCUCUUCCGGUACUUCGCCGUUUUCAUCGCGCCCUGCAAGAAGAACACAUGUCGAACCCAGGAACACAGCACAUAAGUGUCGAGCAGCACAAAGGACCACUUACCUUAACCUCGUCCAAGAGAAGCUUGGCCGCGCGCUCCACCCUCGCGGCCUCUUUCGUCUCCGCGAGCUCCUCGUGUCCGAUGAAGUGGUCCCCGCGUUGGCGCCACACGUAGACGUCCUGGCGGCCGUCACGGGGAUGACCUUCAAUCUCCUCCAUGUCAUCGUCAGAGGCCACCUGGGUCUCCUCGCUCGCUGCACUGCCACCGGCUGUGGUCGCAGGCAUCACAGGCCCCUGGUCCAGGCUAGGGGAGCCUGCAGGCGAAGAGGCCCCUGCCCGGGGCGGUGUUGGCACUCCCCUCUCUUCGGCUGGGGGAGGUGUCGGGACUCUGUCUUCCUCCUCCACGAUGUUACUCGGGGGAGGGGUCCUCGUAGCCUCCUCAUCCCUCGUCGGGGUGCUCGCCGCGGUCUUUACUGAGGCCGGAUGCUCCUCGGCGCUCUCGGCCACGGUUGUUGCCGCGGGCUUCUCCGUGGUCUGCGGCGCGGCGUCCCCAGCGGCAGCAACGGGCUCGGCCACCCUCUGGCUAGCAACGUGGUCAGGAUCGACGUUCGACGCCGCGCUAACAAUAAGACGACAUUUAAACAAUGUCAAAACGCAGCAACAAAACGCAAAACAUCGUAGCGCGAAAGUAAGAAUGCAAACUUACAGGUCAGAGUGCCGGUGCGUUGCGGUGAACCUCCUCCUGGUCCUACCGGUCGGUGCCUGCGCCCCCGUCUCUACGACGCGCGUCGGCUCGACGUGCGGUGCAGGCGGGUCACUGGUCACCCGACCAGUGGUGGCCGGCGCAACGUCCGGACGACUGCGAGGCCUCCGGACCAACGACGGCGCGGCCUCUUCCUGCUCGUCGUCGUCAUCGGUGAUCCGGAUGAGCCGAUGGCGCUUUGGCGCCUGGCUGCUCUCUGCCGGCAGCGUUGCCGCAGGGGAGGGGUCCGCUGCCAGUGGCCUUUUCCCUGCCACUCUGUCCUCGGUGGUUGGGGCGGGGUGGUUCUGCUCCUCCUCACUGCUGGUGUACCGAGUACACCGAGCAGCGUCGUCCUCUGGCGGGUCUUCCCCCGCGGGAUUCUCCAUGCCAGGUGCCAGUGAUACGUACACUGUGCACUGGUCAACGUCUCCAAUCUGCAACAGUAACAAAGACAAGUCAACAACUAGGAAGAACAAGAACUAAGGAGGUAACUUCAGUCAGUAACAUCACCUUAGGAGCUGGUCGCCCCAGCUUGAAGGCCUGCACCCGAUCACCGCCUCGAACGAAGCUGUUAUCUGCAAAGUUGAACAACUCGUUCAACAGAUGUUGCACUUCUGUCUUCUCUAGAACUUCAGGACUCAUCCUGGUCGGGUCCUGACUCCCUGCGUACUCGUACGCCGAAUGUACCCUCUUCGGGCAGGGCAUCACCCGACGACAGAUGAAGUUGCCGACAACUCCUAGCCCGUCUAAAUGCGACCAGUCGAUCAGCUUCAUCAGGUCUUCUACCUGACCGGCCAACUCUGGGCGGUCCGUCCAACUGACCCUCUUCUCGGGAAUGUACCCCACGUCGCAGAACGUGGAGCUGCCCGGCUCUUCCCUGACGUAGAACCACUUCUUGUACCAUUCGGUGAGAGAAGUGUUCCACGGGCAGUUAAGAUACCGGUUCUUCAUCCCGUCACGAAGAUUGAGGUAUACUCCACCUGCAAUCUUGGAGCCUCCAACCGCUCCCUUCUUCCUCAAGCAGAAAAGGUAGCGGAAAAGACCGAAGUGCGGCUCUAUCCCAACAUAGGCCUCGCACAGAUGGAUAAAAGUGGAAAUAAGAAGAAUCGAGUUCGGGUGCAGAUUGCAGAUCCCGAUCUCAUAGUAAAGAAGAAGCCCUUGGAGAAAAGGAUGGACAGGAACCCCAAAACCCCUCUUGAAAAAAUCUUCGAAAACCAUGAUCUCACCGGCACGGGGGUCGGGGUAGCUCUCCCCCUCUGGCGCCCUCCACCCGCCGAGCUCUUGGCUGUGCAGUAGCCCCAUGCCGACGAGGUCGUUGAGGGACCUCACGCUGCUCCGGGACUUCUUCCACUCCUUAGCCAUCAGUUCGGCCCUCUUCUUGGAGUCGCUCUUCGCCAUUGACGCUGCGGAAAUGGAUGCGAGCUAGGCGGACUGAUGGUGGUUGCAGAAGGCAAGAGUGGAAAGCUUGAAGGCAAUGGCAGGGUAAGCAAUACGGGGGGCAAUGUCAAGCUUUUAUAAGCAACAACUCCACCCCUCCCACUUCCCGUAUUCUUGGGAAGUGGGCGGGCCCAACGGCGGACGCGGCGUUUCGGUUUUCAACAAUUACCGGCAGUUAAUACGGCGGCUUUUUCGUAUAAUUGAUGGUUUCCUUUUCUCGAACCGUACAAAGAGCGGCUGCACAGUUACCAGGCGCACCUUUUCACGUAACCAUCUGACAAUGCGUCAGGAGCUCUCGUCACGUCACUCAUUUAUGUGGUAAGAUGCUUUUUUUCAAAAUAACAGACAAAAAUUGGUGGAGGAUCAACGUUCCUGGGGACUGCACCAACCACGGAGCACUGUAUGCUCGGGGACUGGUCACCCAGUCUGCCAGUUAGGAGAUUUGGGGACUGCACCGACCACCGAGCACUGUAUGCUCGGGGACUGGUUGCCCAGUCCGCCAGAUUGGAGAUCUGGGGCCUGCACCGACCACCGAGCACUGUAUGCUCGAGGACUGGUCGCCCAGUCCACCAGAUUGGAGAUCUGGGGCCUGCACCGACCACCGAGUACUGUACACUCGGGGACUGGUCGACCGGCCCGCCAGUUUGGAAGAAUUAGGGACUAUACCAAUCACCAAGGCAUUAUCUGCUCGGGACUGGUUGAUAAGUCUACCCGAUGGCAAACGAGCAUGAGACGCUCGGGGACUGGAUAAUUUUAAUUUUUUUAGACCUUGCUACAAGGCUUAUAUUUCGCCUUCCAGCAAGCUCGGGGACUACAUCGGUACGAUGCAUCUGGCAAUGCAUCUUAGUUUCAGAAUUUCUCUAAGGACUUUUCUUCUGACCCUGGCACCACGUGUCUACGCCACCUACUACUAGGCUCGGGGACUAAGUGGGCACACUUCACCUUGUGGUGAAUAUGCUUGCUUUUAUGAGGUCUAUACUUUUCAGAAAAGUAAAGUGGGCACACUUCACCAGGAAAGAAAUCUUCUUUGAUCUAGAACACCAUGCAUUCUUCGAACAACCUGCUUCUUCGACGUCAGUGUUGGUCGACUGUCUUUUGAGUUGGUCAAAACACCGUUGCAACUGUUUGGGUGAUUUUCCUACUUAUUGAAGGCGUCAAGCUUGAUUGAUCGAAGAAGCUCAAGACGGCGUGCUACAUCACAAUACAUGGUGUUCGGGGACUAGCUGUGGGGGUAUAAACCCCUAUACCCUUACGGCUAGACUUGGGCCAGGAGGCUUGGCCCAUUAUGAGACAAGUUUGAAGCUUGAUCCGACCACUCGGAGAUUCGCGCAAGGAAACAAGACGAGGAGAUCAAGCAGGAUUCUAGUCGGUUAGAAUAGGAAUUGAUAUCGAAUUAUCUAUGGCAGUUGUAACCGACUAGGAUUAGUUUCCAGAUCUGUAACCCUACCCUCCGGACUAUAUAAGGAGGGGCAAGGGACCCCCCUAGGACACAUUAUUCUCUCAAUCCAAUACAAUCAGACGCAGGACGUAGGUGUUACGCCCACACGGCGGCCGAACCUGGAUAAAAAGCUUGUCCGUGUCUUGCGUCACCAUCGAGUUCGUAGUUUGCGCACCGUCUACCGAUAAACUACUACCGUGGGCAUACCCCAAGAUAGACUGCUGACUAGCUUUCAUCGACAACUACUAUCAGGAUGAACAGACAACUUGGAUGAAUGAGCUUCAAAUAAGAUCUGAUUUUGGAGCUCACGGUUCUUUGGUACAACAAGCCGAUCUUUGAACCAUAGAAUUCCGUUCUCAUCGACCCGAAAGUGCUUUGUUUCUUCUUCUUUCAUCUUCCUCUUUAUAUGGUGGAUGCCUACAUCAGUUUGCUGCAACUCAAUGACUCGAUUACGAAGAGAGCUUGCUAAGGCAAUAUUGCGAGCACUAGUGGAUGCAUAAGAUGUGACAAGGGUGAAUCUUUAAUCUAAACAGAAUUGCAGUGCGAUUUCUGACUCAAGGCAUCCGCAACCACGUUUGCCUUGCCCAGAUGGUAGUGCACUUGAAGAUUAUAAUCUUUAAUCAACUCAAGCCACCUUUGUUGUCACAUGUUCAAUUCAGGUUGGGUGAACAUGUACUUGAGACUCUUAUGAUCGGUGUAGAUAUUGCACAGAUUGCCCAGUAAAUAGUGCCUCCAGAUCUUCAAAGCAUGGACAACUACGACCAAUUCUAAAUCAUGAGUAGGGUACUUGACCUCAUGUUUUCAAAGUUGGCAUGAUGCAUAAGCGAUAACGCGACCUUCUUACAUCAGCGCACAGCCCAGACUAAUAGCAAAUGCAUCACAAAAGACAUCGAAAGGCUUCUCGAUAUCGGGUUGAGCUAGGACAGGAGCUGAUGUCAGCAAUGUCCUGAACUUGUGGAAUGCUUCCUCAGAGUCAGGCGUCCACACGAACUUCUCAUCUUUCUAAAGCAAUCAAGUCAUAGGCUUGGAUAUUUUCGAGAACUCCGGAAUGAAACAACGAUAAUACCCAGCCAAACCCAAAAAAACUCUGAACCUCGUGCACUGAAGUUGGGACCUUCCAAUCCAACACUUCUUGCACUUUGGCUGGAUCAACUGAUAUUCCUUCUUCAGACAAGACAUGGCCCAAGAAAGGUACUUUCUUUAGCCAGAACUCGCAUUUGCUAAACUUAGCAUAAAGCUGAUGCUCACAGAAAUGAGUUAACACUACACGCAGGUGCUCUGCAUGUUCUUCUUCAUUGCAAGAAUAUACUAUGAUAUCAUCAAUGAAGACCACCACAAAGUUGUCCAAUUCGGGCAUGAAGACUGAAUUCAUGAGAUACAUGAAGUGUGCAGGUGCAUUCGUAAGACCAAAGGACAUGACGAGAUAGUCAUACAACCCAUAUCUCAUCGAGAAAGCCAUCUUGGGUAUAUCUUCAGGACGGAUCUUGAUCUGAUGGUACCCAGACCGCAAAUCAAUCUUGGAGAAUACCUUAACUUUAGACAACUUAUCAAACAAGAUAUCAAUGCGAGGAAGAGGAUACUUAUUCUUGAUAGUCACCGCAUUCAGUGAGCCAUAGUCCACACACAUGCACAAGGAUUGAUCUUUAUUCUUCACAAAGAUAGCCGGACAACCCCAAGGAGAAGAACUAGGACAAAUAAGACCCUUCUUCAACAAUUCGUUCAACUGGGUCUUAAGCUCAGCUAGCUCAUUCGGUGGCAUUCUAUAUGGCCUUCUAGAGAUAGGAGCAGUACCUAGAAGCAAUUCAAUUUUCUUGUAGUGACUCCACAUCCCGGUCUGGAGGAAGCUCGAGCAAAUCACACCAUCAGAAUAUCCUUGAUGGCCCUAGAUGUAACUAUGUUCAUCAUGCUAUGGAUAUGUAUAUCAUGAGGAAGUUGCACUAAGAACGCCUCCUUAGUACCAGGUUCUCUCAACAUCACCACGCGAGUAGUGGUGUCGAUAAGAACCCCGUUACCACUCAUCCACUUCAUUCCCAGAAUCACAUCUAUGCCCACACGAGGCAAAACAACCAGAUCAGCGAGGAACUGACGGUCUCCUAUUUCUAGAGUUGCCCCCAAAACCACUUGAUUUGUAGAAAUAUUAUUUCCGGCAGCACUAAUGCAAUAACUGUAACAUCUCCGAUGUUACGGUUACUAAAAUCGGAUCAUGUCAUCAUAAGCAUUGCAUGGCAUGUUUGGUAAUCACACCCUGAUGCAUCAACCUAAAACAAGUUUAUUUUGAUUAGUUGUGCUUAGGGAAUUAAAGUGUGUUUAUGUUGUGCAGUAAUGCUUGGCUUGGUUGCUAAAACCCUAGGGUGGGAAUUUUCCGACAGACUAGGGGGGGGGGGAACUCUGAUUUUUGGAACCCUAGAUUUUGCCCCCUUUCACACACUUUGAAAACUAAGCAAAAUUUGGGGUUGAGUUCAAAAUCAAAGUUGUAGAUCUUGUCAAUAUGUACAACUUUGGUGUUUUGAGUUUUUGAAGUUUCAAUACAAAAUUCAAAGUAAUUUUGAAAAUGCAGAUUUCCAGAAAGUGUCCCCUUUUCCAAUUUAAACCUCCAAUCCAAAAUCCAUUUGGAACUUUGAAAAGUUGUCAACAUGAAAGUUGUAGAGCACGAAAAUUUGAACAACUUUCAUGUUGGGAGUUUUUCAAGUUGUUAUGAAAAAUCAAAAGUAAUUUUAGAAAUCCUGAUUUGUCCCCAAUUCAAAAUUUUGAAUUUCUUUGAAUUAGAUUUGAUUUGCAAACUGUUUUGGCUAAAUCACUAGUUUCCAUUCAGAAUCAGCUUGGGACACCUAAAUAUAUUUUGUAGCUUAUAAAAUUGUGCACAACUUUUGUUUUGGUGGAAUCUUGUGCUCAGUUCAAAUUUUGGGUGGAUUUCACAAAAGUUAGAAAAGGAGGGAUAAGGGUCUGCUACAGUGAUCCGAUAUGGAUCACCGGCUCCCUGUCCAGCGCAGCCGCCACGCGAGCAGCGCCGCGCGCAUGCGUGCGUGCACGCAGCUGCUUGCUGCCAGGGUCGCCAGGUGACGUGGAUGCCCCGGGCUUGCUUUCCCCUCCAUUUGAGCGUAGCGUGCACGACGCCGUGCGUUUCCUCCGUCCUGAGCCAAAGAACCCGACGAGCCUUUCUCUCCCAAAUUCACCAUAACCACUUCUUCCCGAGCCAAAUUGAGCAACCCAGAGUCUUCGUCACCUUCGUGCGAACCCAGUGCACCCCCAAGCUCCCUCUCUAACCCCCUCAAACGCCAGAGCUCCCCCCUCUUCUCCAACUCCGGCCGAGACCGCCGCCGCGGAGCUCUUCCCGUGGCCACGGUGUUCCAAUGAGUAUCACACCCCGCUGGCGACUGUUUCAAGUUCCUUCUGUGCCCCGGUUGCUCAUGCGCUCGCUCCCUCUCCUUGAAUGUGAGCAGGAUCGCCGGAACGAGCUUGCCGGAGCCAGAGCUCUCGCCCGACGACACUGUUUCCGUCGCCAGCGGCUUCAGCUGCUUCCCCGAGCCUUGCAGCGUGAGCACCACCCUCCCCAACCCCUGUGGAAGCUCGCUAGGCCGUCGGCUUGCACUCUACCGGGUCCGGGUGGCCGGCCGAUAGUCGGCCAUGGCGGCCGUCCGCCGGUGACGCGGUUGCGAUAGAAAGAAGGCGGUAGAGCACGAGUGAGUGGUAGAGAUCGGUCCGCGGAAGUGAGGCGGAGCUGAUGCGCACGCGCGCGGGGGGCGAGGACCUCGCUAACGGCCGCCGGAGCUGCGGCAGUGCCGUCGCGCGUGAAGGGGGCGAAGCUGACAGGUGGGGUCGUCCUGUCAGCGUCUCGUAGGAGGGGGAGAGAGCCUGACGAGCAGGGCCCGCUCGUCAGCGACCACACAGAGAGGGGGCAGCGCGCGCAGUGUCCGCGUGGACCGAGCACUCGGGCCGACUUGGGCCAGGUCCAAGCAGGCCGCCAGCGUGGCACAGUGCCCUUUUCUUUUUCCUUUUUGUUUAAAAGUGCUUGAUGUUUGAUUUUGAAUAGUAAAUUCUGUGUUGAUUCAAAAAUUGUGAAAAUUUUUGUAAAUGUUCCAUAAAUUAAGAAGAACAUAGGAAAAAUACUAAAUUUCGUUUUCUGAUAAUAUAAACAUAUAUACAAAUUCUGCCUUUUAGUUAAUAAAUGGAACUUACAAGAAUUUUAAUAAUUUAUUAGUAUGUCCAAAAAUCACCAAACAUUGUGGGAUGCCUCUGAAUAUUAUUCCCUGGCUCCACACAAAAUUUGGUGGCAUUUGGAUAAUGUUUGAAUAAAAUAUUAAUAAACUCUUAUUUAGUAAUUAAAUAAUAAUUCCAAAAUAAUUAGAUAGUGAUUAGUUAAAUCCUCAUAAUUAGGGUUGAGUGAUUUUGGGAUUCUGUGAUGACCUGAGGUCAUUAACCCUAAUGACCUUUGGCAUUUAAUUAUUGUUUAGCCUUAAUGCUUAAUUACUGUCAUUAGUGAUUACUUAAGAGUUAAUUAAGGUAAAUAGGAUUAAUAAUUAGUUAAUUUAAGAUAAUUAUGAAUUAAGAAGAGUCUUAAUUUACAGAUGCAACCUCUUGGGUAAAAACACUAAAAUGGUAAACAACUUUAAUUAUUGUUUAUUCUGUGUUGCACCGAGAAGGCAAAUUGUACUCGACUUGAUCCUUCUUGUAUAUUUGUCAUACGCAUAUCAUGAGCAUUCAUCAUUUUGCGUAUAGUAUCCGUGACCGAAGGGGCGCCCGUUGAACCAAACCCUGAGGUCGGUGCUCCGUUCGAGGAAGUCGGAUCCGAGACUUGGGAAGUCUCCGAGGGUCCCUCUCUGCCCUGCAACCAAGGCAAGCCCCGGAUGCAUUAACCCCUCCUUGAAUGUUUUAAAUCUUUUAUCACUUAUAAAUUGAAAAUGCUGCAUUAGGUAGUUGAGAAUUGGGUUAACCUACUUGCAGCAUUUACUACCUUGAUAUCUGUUAUCCUGUCCUUGACACCUGUUUAUUUUCAAAACUGCGUAGUGAUGCUUAGCCCUGCUACUAGAUAGGUUUUCAAAUAAGAAAGUUUGAAGGGUUGUUGUGGAAUACAUUUAUGAUCAAUGAUGUUUAAUCUGAGACCGGUCGGUGGACUUCCUUUAAGAAUGGAGUCUUAAAGUAGUGUCUCCAACUGUGUCGGUUAAGGACCGGUCCGUUGAUGGCCCGCUGGGUUGAGAAUUUAUAGUACUAGCCACUUGCCCUUGGUAAGCUCGGUCUUGUGAUCCCUCGACGCGAACAGCUACUCGCGCACUGGGAGUGGAAAGAUGGCGAGAGUAGUAUGUACCCACCUUACGGAUCUGAGAUGACCGGAAAACAUCUAGAUCGGCUGUAGGAUGGUGGAGUACUGUGCUCUCGGGUGCCGCGAACCUGGUCAAAUUUGGGGAGAGCUUGAUUUGGGUUGACAUAUGCAGGUUUUGGUUCUACAUAUGUUGGGUGGUUAGGAACUCCAGCUGGAUUGCUAAGCGGUUCGAAUCGUCGUUGCUCCCCGAUUGGGAGACUCAAUCCACUGCCCCUCAUCGUAGUUAAAUAUGCAACUAAGUGAUAAAAUGAGAAGGGGGAAAUGUCUCAUGGAGUUCGGAUCCCAAUUCCCGGACUCAAAGCGACAUGAAGCUAUGGUCGUCGGAGAGAAAGUACUUUGAUUAAGGACUAGGAACUUGCAGACUUGUCUGUGAGAGAUAACUAGAUAGACUGUCCUCGAACUCCUCGGCCUCUGCGGGGGAGGAAUUCGCGGGUAAAACUUGAAAUAAGGAUGCACUAUUAGUAAGCUUUUUAGCAAAACACUUUGGCUCCUUGCUCAGCCACUCCUUGUCUACCCUAAGCCUGCAUUCCUACCUUCUCCUAUUUUUCCAUCGGGUAAGUCUUGUUGAGUACUCCCGUACUCAGGGUUUUCCAACCCCCUGUUGCAGGUGAAGCUCAGGAGCCGACUUGUUUCGGACCCUGUUGUGUGACCGUCGUCGAGGUUGAUGACGAGGAGGAAUGAGCGUGACCCAUGGGCAGGGUCUGUAAAUUUGUAAUCUCUGUACUAAAGCUUAAGUUGCUCCACUGGACCUGGUUUGUAAUAACACUCUGCUAUUUGGAAGAACUCCUUUUGUAAAAUAAGCUAUGUAAUACUUCCGCUGUUUCACUCUGAAAUAUUAUUUUGGUCGUAUGUCGUUUGUGGUACUGCAUUGUCUUCGCAACGAAUGAUCCUGGUGUUAAGGUGGCCACUUGCUAUCCUGUAAGGGCGAGAAGAAGAAGUUCUCGUUAAUUGACCAUUACUAGUGGUCAGGACGAGCCGGCUUGGCACGCCACAGGUAGCAGUGGAAUGAGCGUCCAGCGAUGCUCAUCGGACUCCUAAAGUGGGAGGAUCCCCGGCAUCGCCGUCAGAGGUCCUUAGGACAAUGACAGGUGUCGGUGGGCCCAAAAACUUAGGGGGUUCUGCCACAAUAACUGCCUUUAUCAAGUGUAACUGCCAUGAGAUUAUGCUUAGACACAAAAUCUGAACUCACAAAGGAAUGUAAUGCUCCCAAAUCAAAAAGCACAAGUGCAUCACAUUAGUUAACCAGGAACUUACCAGUCGUGACUACCUCACCAGCAGGGAAGGCUUCCACUAUAGUAUAGUGAACACGACCCUGACAGACGCUCCCUUGGUUGGCCUUCUUCAGUGGGUAAGGGUAGUUGCUUUGCUAAUGCCCUGUCUGAUUGCAGUUCCAGCACGGGCGAUUAGCAUGUGGAGUCUUGGCAUAGCUGGGCCUAGUGUUCCCCCUAGGAAGAGUAAUAGAGUACCCCUUGCAAAAUCCUGUCUUCGCCUGAUUCUUCUUUGGUAGAGGACGGUAUCGCAUAUUAGGAGUUGGAGUACGAUACUGGGGCUUAGCUGCCACUAGAGCCUUGGAUUGAGAUGCCCCGGCCUCAAAAGCUCGCUUGCGAGUUUUAGUCGCAGUGUACACAGUAUUGUAAUUCUCUUGAGUAAGAGCAUCACUAACAAACUCAUUGAAGGUGACACACUUAGUGUGUCCCAUAGUCUUCAACAGUUUGGGGCCAAGACCCCUCUUGAAGCUAACAAUCUUGGCUUCGGUGCUCACAAACUCAUUUGCAUACCUUCUGAAAGGUCCAAAUGGCUAGAGGGGGUGUGAAUAGCCUAAUUAAAAUUUCGACAAACUUCACUAAGCAAGCGAGUUAGUACAACAAAUGGCGAAGCAAAUCUAGCACUAGCUCAACUAAGCUAUGCAAGCCACCUAUACAAACUAGUACAAGGCUAAACACUAAAGCACAACAACAAGAGAAAGGCUAGUUACACUCCUAAACAAGAAGACUAAACUAAACAAGCUAAACAACUAGCAAGGUAAACAAGUAAGUAAAGGAGUGGAGAGUGAUUGUUAUACCAACGUUGUAGAGUAGAGAUAUAACCAACCAAUCACUCACAAUCACAAGAGAAUCCUCGGCAAGAGAUGACACAAGAUUUUUUACCGAGGUUCACUUGCUUCCCGGCAAGCUACUCCUCGUUGUGGCGAUACACCCACUUGAUGGAUCACGAGCUAAUUGGCAAUCCAAAGCCAAACCCUCAGCGGGUGCCGCACAUCCACUCACAAGAUGGGGGUCCUCCAAGCCACGAGCAAUCCACUAGAGUAGCCAAUUGCGAUCUCCCGCGGGGAAGGCUCAAGAACCCCUCACAAGUCACUUGGUGAGGCUCGAAACAAUCUCCAAUCACGAGCUCAACACCACCGCUGCUCCAAGCCGUCUAGGGCGUCGGGAAACACCCAAGAGUAACAAGAGAUCCGCAGCAAACUCAAGAAUCAAGUGCCACUAAAUGCAACUCUCAAAGCAAUGCAAUUGAAUCUCACUCAAUCUCACUAGAAUUAGCAAACAAGCAAGGAGAUGAGUGGAGGGAGUGUUCUCUAGCUCAAAGUAUGCCUCAAGUAUUCAAAAGUGCCAGAGAGAACCUCCCAAAGCCGGCCACCCUCAAAGAAACUAGCCGUUGGCCACUUUCACUGGGCUAAAAUCGGAGGCACCGGACGCUACUAAGUGAUCGCCGGACGCUCGACCCCCAGCGUCCGGUGCUCAGGGAUAGGCCACGUGUCCUCUUUGAAUCUCGCGCGUCAGUUUCUAACGGCUACCUGCAACACACCGGACGCUCUGCAAGUCCACACCAGACACGUCCGGUGCACACCGGACUCAUGCGCAGAGAGUUUGUCAAACUCGCGACCUCACCGGACGCUGGGCACCGGACGAUCCAUUGCUCAGCGGACUCGUGCGCACAGAGGGUUGCAAAAACCCUCACACCGGACGCUAACCACCGGACGCUACCAGAGUGCGUCCGGUGCUCAACCCUAGCAGAGUCAAGCUCUGACAGUACACCGGACGCUCGGGCCAGCGUCCGGUGCCUCCGCACUGAGCGUCUGGUGAGUGUUUCCAACUGAGAAACACUCCCACGACUUCUCCAAAUUUCCCACCGGCACAAUAGAAAAUAUACACUUAAUUUUCUCAAAAGCGCCGACAAGUGUGCACCACCUUUGGAAAUAUGCUAACACUAACAAGGGAGAGAGGAACCCACACCCCUCUCAACCCUAGGAACUCCACCUCCUUUGGAAAUGUGCUAACACCAACAAGUGUCCACCACCAAAGUGCAAGUGUGUUAGCUUUUCACAAACAUUUUCACCAAAGGAGUUAAGUUAGCACUUUACUAGAUCCUAAUGCAUAUGCUCAAGAUGUAGACCUAGUAGCACUUGAUUCGAGAGAUGACCGUGAUUUCCCCUCUUGAUAGUCGGCUAUCUAUCCUAAACCCGGUCAAUCACUUCUCUACUCAUCUUAGACCGGCAAAAGUAAAACCCUAUGUUUAUACCUUUGCCUUGAUAACUUUGCUCCUCGUCUAUCACCAUGAUCUUCACUUCAUGAUUCAUCCCUUUGUGAUUAUGUGGCCACCUUUCCAUGCCACCAUGCCCCUUCAUCACAUGUGUUGCUAUGCCUAACUCAAAUCACUUAAACAUAAGGCAUUAGCAACUUGGUGUCAUUAAUUACCAAAACCAAACUUGGGCUUUCAAUCUCCCCCUUUUUGGUAAUUGAUGACAACCAUCACAAAGAUAUGAAAUGAAAUCAUAAUGAACUUGAAUUGCUUGUCCAAAGCAUUUUAAUCAUGAGACAAGGUUGGACAAACAUUUCAAUUUCAGUUUUGGUAGUACUAGCUCCCCCUACAUAUGUGGUUCCAUGAGUUUGGUUCAAGUUUGCACAUAUGCAUGAAUUUGAAUUUUGGGAGAUUUAUUACUACCAAAAUGAUGCUAAGGUGUAUAGAAUGGACCUUUGAAGCGUGAUACCAAUCGGAGUUGCCAAUAUACCAUCCUUAGCACCAAUGUAUCUAGACAUACAUCAAAAACUCAAGAUACCUCGUGAGAUCACAUUAUAUGUCUAGAAACCACAAGAAAAUAAAAACUCUAUACUAGAAUUCAAAGCAUCAUUCAAGUUUUAUUUCUAGCUAACAUCAAUCAAACAAGAGUAGUGAAUUUAAACUUGUAAUGCAACACCUCAUUAUGUUAGUGCACAUACAAAUGCAACAAAUGGUUCAUGAGCUUGCUCCCCCUAUUUGUGUGCUCAUGUUUUAAUUUAUCCAUUUCAAUUUUUAGAAGUUAUCUCUCCCCCUUAAGCACUUUUGUCCCCCUUUAUGACUUUAUCUUUGUUUCUCUCCCCCUUUGUCAUCAAUGACCACAAAGGUUCAAAUUUUAGUGAGAAUUAAGUCAAUCAAUGUGAGGGUCAAAUUAUGGUUCAAUCUAGAUCACUUGCCUGAAACAUGUAAUUCGGUUUGAUCCAAGGACAAGCUUUUUCACUCCUCAUAAAGUAUAAGGGUUAUCAUGACCAUGUCGAAUUACACAUCAUAAGCUCAUAUUCUAGAUUCAACACUAGGCUUGCAAGCUCACAAACAUGUCAUAUGCUACCACUAGAUCAAUCAAACAUAGACGCAAUAGUGGUACCAUACAUACAUCAAACCCUUUUGAUUUUCAUGAAUGAGCCUAUUGUCAUGCAAGCAUGUCUAUAUGUUCUAAACAUGUCCUUAGCAAAGUAUGAAUGCUAUGUCAACCAACUUUACCUUGUUUUGUUGGAGGAGAGGCAUGUCAUAUAUAAAUGUGGGGGUGCACUCAUCUCAAGUUGGAGAAGUCAAGUAUGUUCAAUUCAUUCCUCAACUUGCAAAAUCUCUUCUCAUCAAGUGGCUUUGUGAAGAUGUCGGCUAGUUGAUCUUCGGUGCCAAUGCUUUCAAUGCUAAUAUCACCCUUUUGUUGAUGGUCUCUUAUGAAAUGGUGCCUUAUAUCAAUGUGCUUGGUUCUUGAAUGUUGAACCAGAUUUUGUGUCAUCUUGAUUGCACUCUCAUUGUCACAUAGCAAAGGCACAUUCUUGAAUUUGAUUCCAAAGUCAUUCAAGGUAGCUUUCAUCCAAAGCAAUUGUGCACAACAACUACCGGCACUAAUGUAUUCGGCCUCGGCGGUUGAUAGUGCAACACUAUUUUGUUUCUUUGAUGACCAUGAAACUAGAGACCUUCCCAGCAAUUGACAAGUGCCACUUGUGCUCAUUCUAUCAAUCUUGCAUCCACCAUAGUCGGAGUCCGAAUAUCCAAUCAAUUCAAAGUUAGACCCCUUGGGAUACCAUAAUCCAAUAUCAUGAGUGCCCUUAAGAUACCUCAAUAUCCUCUUGGUUGCCUUCAAGUGACUCUCUCUAGGUGAAGCUUGGUAUCUUGCACAUUUGUACACACUAAACAUUACAUCCGGCCUUGAUGCGGUGACAUAGAGCAAACUUCCAAUCAUGGACCGGUAUAGCUUUUGAUCUACCAUGUUGCCACUUGCAUCACUACCUAAUUGAUCAUUUGUGCCCAUAGGUGUGCUCAUUAGUUUAGCUUCUUGCAACCCAAACUUCUUGAUCAUGUCCUUGAUGUACUUUCCUUGACUCACAAAGUGCCAUUCUUCAUUUGCUUGAUUUGAAUACCAAGGAAGUAACUAAGCUCUCCAAUCAUGGACAUCUCAAAUUCAUUGCCAUCAUUUUUCCAAACUCUUCAUAAAAGUCUUGAUUGGUUGAUCCAAAGAUGAUAUCAUCAACAUAGAUUUGCAACACAAACAAGUCAUUGCCUAGCUUCUUGGUGAAGAGGGUAGUGUCAACCUUCCCCAUCUUGAACCCUUUAGAGAGAAGGAAAUCUCUCAAUCUCUCAUACCAUGCUCUAGGUGCUUGCUUCAAACCAUACAAUGCCUUCUUGAGCUUGUAAACAUGGUUAGGUUUCUUGUCAUCUUCAAAACCGAGAGGUUGUUCAACAUAAAUCAACUCAUUUAUGUAUCCAUUGAGGAAUGCACUCUUCACAUCCAUUUGAUAGAGCUUGAUGUUGUGGGCACAAGCAUAGGCUAAUAAUAUUCUAAUUGCCUCCAAUCUUGCAACCGGUGCAUAUGUUUCUCCAAAGUCAAGACCUUCAACUUGAGUGUAGCCUUAUGCUACUAGUCUUGCUUUGUUUCUCACAACUACACCAUCUUGAUCUUGCUUGUUUCUAAAGACCCACUUGGUACCAAUCACAUUGCAGUUCUUUGGCCUCUCAACAAGUUCCCACACUUGAUUUCUUGUGAAGUUGUUCAAUUCUUCAUGCAUGGCAUUUACCCAAUCGGAAUCCUUCAAUGCAUCUUCUAUUUUCUUUGGUUCUUCAAAUGAGACAAAUGAGUAGUGCUCACAAAAGGAUGCUAGUCUUGAUCUUGUUUGAACACCACUUUGAAUACCACCAAUGACUUGAUCCAAUGGAUGAUCUCUUGCUAUGCUUGUAGGUUGGAGUAUUGGGAGUUGAUUGCUUCCACUAGCUUGAUUUUGAUUUUGAUCAUCAUCAUGAGAGCCACUAGUACUUGCUUGAUUUGUAUCAAUUUGCACUUCUUGAUUGAUCAUGUGAAUGUCAUUAUCCUCAUCAACUUGCCUUGGCCUUAUGUCACCUACAUCCAUGUUCUUCAUUGCAUUUGCCAAUUGAUCUCCCCUCACAUCAUCAAGAUUUUGAGCUUCAUUUUGAGAUCCCUCGGUUUCAUCAAACUCAACAUCAUGGACUUCUUCCAAUGUGCCACUUGCUAAGUUCCAAACUCUAUAUGCCUUGCUUAUGGUGGAAUAACCAAGUAAGAACCCUUCAUCACAUUUCUUCUCAAACUUGCUCAAUCUAGUGCCUUUCUUGAGAAUGUAGCAUUUACAACCAAACACUCUAAAGUAUGCAAUGUUGGGCUUUCUUCCAUUCAAUAGCUCAUAUGGUGUCUUCCCAAGCUUCCCAUGGCAAUAGAGACGGUUGCUACAAUAGCAAGCCGUGUUGAUGGCUUCACUCCAAAAUAAAUGGCUAACAUUGUACUCACUAAGCCAUUCGCCAUAAAUCACGUAUGACUUGGCCCCUCGAGCGACACGGCGGGCCUCUGAUCGAUCUUCUGGUAGCUCGCAGCGGAUUAGGCAGUCGAGGAACGGUGUGCGCCAGUCGAACGGUCGACCAGCACCAACUGUCUCCAUCACCUCUGCUGCCAUCAGCAGUGCGUCGACGGUGUCGAUUGGCUGGGCGGGAGUGGCAUCGACACCAGCCCCCGAGCUCAAGUCGACGGAUGGUUCGUGUAGAUCUCUUGAGAAUGCGUCAGGUGGCACCGUGCCUCUAGUCGACGCGAUCUUGGCGAGUUCGUCGGCUGCCUCGUUGUAGCGUCAGGUGACGUGGACGAGCUCGAGGCCAUGGAACUUGUCCUCGAGUCGACGAACUUCUUUGCAGUACGCCUCCAUUUUCAGGUCGUGGCAGCUCGAAGUCUUCAUCACUUGGUCGAUGACGAGUUGGGAGUCACCUCGGACGUCGAGGCGUCGGACUCCUAGCUUGAUGGCGAUCUUGAGACCGUUGACGAGGGCCUCGUAUUCUGUGACAUUGUUGGAUGCGGCAAAGUGAAUCCUGAUGACGUACCUCAUAUGGACGCCCAAGGGCGAGAUGAACAGCAGGCCGGCCCCGGCCCCCGUCUUCAUGAGUGACCCAUCGAAAUACAUCGUCCACAGCUCCGACUGGACCUGAGUUGGGGGAAGCUGGGAGUCUGUCCAUUCCGCGAUAAAGUCCACCAGAGCUUGCGAUUUGAUGGCCUUGCGAGGCACGUAAGUGAGAGUCUCACUCAUGAGCUCGACCGACCAUUUAGCUAUUCUUCCCGUGGCUUCCUUGUUCUGGAUUAUCUCGCCCAAGGGGAAAGACGAGACCACCGUGAUGGGGUGGCCGAGAAAGUAGUGCUGCAGCUUGCGGCGGGCGAGGAUUACGGCGUAGAUCAGCUUCUGGAUUUGGGGGUAACGUACCUUGGUCUCCGAAAGCACCUCGCUGACGAAAUAGACUGGCCUCUCGACUGGUAGCGCAUUCCCCUCCUCCUGCCUCUCGACCACCACCGCUGCACUGACGACCUGGGUCGUCGACGCAACGUAAAGGAGCAGUGGUUCUGUAUGUUGAGGUGGGACCAGGACUGGUGCUGAGGUCAGUGUAUUCUUCAGCCUUUCGAGAGCUUCCUCGGCCUCGGGGGUCCAGGAAAAACGCUCGACCUUCUUCAAAAGUCGGUACAACGGUAGCGCCUUUUCUCCUAGUCUCGAGAUGAAAUGGCUCAGAGCCGCCAGGCAUCCCGUGACUCUUUGUACACCCUUGACGUCUCGGAUUGGCCCCAUUCUCGUGAUGGCCGAGACUUUCUCGGGGUUGGCCUCAAUGCCGCGCUGGGAAACAAUGUAACCCAAGAGCAUGCCUCGAGGCACGCCGAAGACGCAUUUCUCAAGAUUGAGCUUGAUCUGGUUGGUGCGUAAGCAGCUAAAAGCGAUCUCGAGAUCCUGGAUCAGGUCCCCUCGCCGCUUUGAUUUGACAACAAUGUCGUCGACGUAGGCCUCGACCGUCGUCCCUAUGUGUUCGCCAAAUACGUGGAGCAUGCAGCGUUGGUACGUGGCUCCCGCGUUUCGAAGCCCAAACGGCAUAGUUAUAUAGCAAUACAUUCCAAAAGGUGUGAUGAAAGAGGUCGCGAGCUGGUCGGACAACUUCAUUUUUAUUUGAUGGUAACCAGAAUAUGCAUCAAGGAAAGAAAGGGUUUCACAUCCCGCAGUAGAUUCGACAAUCUAGUCAAUACGUGGUAAUGGAAAAGGAACUUUCGGACAUGCUUUAUUUAGACUUGUAUAAUCGACACACAUCCUCAUUUUCCCAUUCUUUUUCUUAACUAGUACAGGGUUUGCUAACCAGUCGGGAUGAUGAACCUCCUUGAUGAAUCCGGCCGUCAAAAGCUUGUGGAUUUCCUCGCCAAUGAUCUUGCGCUUCUCCUCAUCGAAUCGGCGCAACCGCUGCUUCACUGGCUUGGAACCGGCUCGAAUCUCCAAGGAGUGCUCGGCGACUUCCCUCGGUAUGCCUGGCAUGUCCGAGGGACUCCAUGCAAACAUGUCGGCGUUCGCACGGAGAAAGUCGACGAGCACAGCUUCCUAUUUGGGGUCGAGGUCGGCGCUGAUCGUCAGCACCUUGCCGUCGGAGCUGUUGGGGUCGAGCGGGAUCUUCUUGGUUCCCUCUGCUGGCUCGAAGUUGCCCGCGUGGCACUUGGGCUCUGGAGCCUCAGCGGCCAGGGCUUCGAGUUUCGUGACGAGCUCGGUGGAGUUCUCGACCGCCUCCCCAUACUCGACACACUCGACGUCGCACUCGUAAGCGUGCUCAAAGGAGGAGCUAACGGUGAUGACGCCUUUGGGACCGGGCAUCUUCAGCUUCAGGUAGGUGUAGUUGGGUAUAGCCAUGAACUUGGCGUAGCCCGGGCGCCCGAUGAUGGCGUGGUACGUGCCACGAAACCCGACCACCUCAAAGGUGAGGGUCUCCUUCCUGAAGUUGGCCGCCGUGCCAAAGCAGACUGGUAGGUCGAUUCGACCUACGGGCAGCGCCUUUCUUCCUGGCACGACGCCAUGGAAACCGCCGGCACUUGGCUGGAGCCUUCCCCUAUCGAUGCCAAGGAGGUCGAGGGUCUCGAGGUAGAUGAUGUUGAGGCUGCUGCCUCCGUCCAUUAGCACCUUGGAGAGCCGGGUGUUGAUGAUGAUAGGGUCGACGACGAGCGGGUAGACACCUGGGGUGACUACCUUGUCGGGGUGGUCCUCUCGGUCGAAGGUGAUGGGGGUGCUCGACCAGCUGAGGUACCGGGGCACCGCCAUUCUUGCCGCGAAGACCUUACAGCGUUCCUUUUUGCGCUGCCUCGCGGUCAACUGUGUCGAAGGCCCACCAUAGAUCAUGUAGCAGUCGUGGACGGCGGGGAAGCCGUCGUCGUCCUUGUUGUCCUCUUUGUCGCCGCCCUUCUCCUUCUUUGAGUCGUCACGCUCAUCCCUUUUGAACCCUAGACCGUCGAAAUGCCUUUUCAGCAUACGACAGUCCUUGAGCUUGUGGUUGGCGCCUCCCUUAUGGUAAGGGCAUGGCUCUUCGAGCAUCUUAUCGAAAAUACCUCCAUCUGGGGGGCCUCGAGGCUUCUUCCACUCCGUGGCAGCGACGAGAUCGUCGUCGAAGUUCUCCUGCUUGUACUGCCGCACUUUCUGCUUUUUCUUGUUCUUCUUGAGCCCUCGACUGGGGGUCCCUUCUUCAUCAGUAGGCUGCUUGCCUUUACCUCCUUCUCCACUGAAGAAGGCACCGACCGCUUCUUCCCCUGCCGCGUAGUUUUCCACUACGUCCAUGAGCUCAUCGACGGUCUGAGGUCGAUUCCGACCCAAUUCCCGCACCAAGUCUCGACUGGUGGUACCAGAGACAAAGGCCAGGAUGACGUCGUGGUCGGGGAUGUGUGGCAGCUCGGCGCGCUGCUUCGAGAAGCGUCGAGCAUACUCUCGAAGAGUUUCUCCUGACUUCUGUUUGCACUUGCUGAGGUCCCACGAGUUCCCAGGCCUUAUGUAGGUCCCUUUGAAGUUACCCUCGAAGACUCUGACUAAAUCGACCCAGUCGUGGAUCUGAUUAGCCGGAAGUUCCUCGAGGCACCGACGGGCGGUGUCGGAGAGGAAGAGCGGCAGCUGUCUGAUGAUGGCUCGAUCAUCACCUCGAGCGCCUCCUAGCUGACAGGCCAGCCUAAAAUCGGCCAGCCACAACUCCGGUUUAGUCUCACCAUUGUAUUUCGCGAUGCUGGUCGGGGGUCGGAAAGGACUGGGCAGGGGCGUGCUGUGGAUUGCCCUGCUGAACACCCGUGGGCCUGGCGGCUCGAGGGCCACUCGGUCCUCAUCGCUAUCGUACCUCCCACCGCGAUGUGCGCUAUAACCGCGCUCUUCCGCGUCUCCGUGCCGGCGAUGUCGAUUUUCUUUGAUGUCAUGCCUUGCGUCGUGUCGACGCUGAUUGUCGACGGGGAGGACGAGGGUGGUCUUUCUUCCUCGAGGGGGCGGCUGUUGAUGGACCGACACUUCCUUUUCGUUUUGAGGCGGCUCGUCGCGCUUUUCAGUGGCUGCUCCUCGUCGCCGAGAAGCUGAGCUUUCGGCUUGUUGAACUGCCGCCACCUGGAGCAGAGUCUGUACCUCGUCUCGAAUGCGUCGAGCCUGGGAGUUCGAUGGUUCGGGCAUGUUGCGCAGUAGCAUUGUCGCCGCUACUACAUUAUGGCCCGCUCGAGGGAAACGGCUGACAGGCUGCUCUGGCUCUGCGUCUCCGACGAUUUGUCGAUGUACCUCUCGAGCGCGUCUGCGGACACUUCCGCCCGGCGGGUAGGGCAGGUCUUGCUCAAGGAUUUGCUUGAGCAGGACGAGGCGUUCACGGUCUUCGUCGAGCUUCAUCUUGAGCUCCCGCAGCUGUGCAAGCUGCGCAGCCCUGUCUUCCUGUGGAGGGGGGUUAACCUGUCCGUGGUUCCCAGGCGUCCUGGGAUCUUCCCGUGCUGCAGGGGCUCGACCGCCCGCAGCAGCAUCCUGCGUCUCGUCGGUAGUUUCUACCGCUUCCGUCGACGUGAUAGCAUUCCCUUGUAGGGUCGUAGCUAUCAGUCUCGGAGUCGGAGUCCAACUCGGCGGCGUAGAAACAUCCUCGUCCCUCCUCCAGCAGCCGCUGCUUGAGUGAGGUGAUCGUGUAUCGCCCGGGGCCUAGGCGGCGGAGGCCUCGUACCUGGGAGAAAUCCGGCAGCUCGGACGUCGGCCGUAGUGCUCCAGAGUCACGUGGGAGGACCGUUGGUCUCUCCACAUACGUCUGGGCAUUUGGGCAUAUUGCUCUGGCGAGCGAUGCCGCGGCGUUGUCUAAUCUGAAUGGCAGUGCCCUUCUUGGAGUAGACAUCCCGCGUGGAAGUAGCUUAGCAGCGGUGGGGGAGGGCGCGCGAGACAUGUCCCCUCCCGUCAUCGUGUGGUGUUGAGCCGUCGUGCCUGCGGUUCCGGCACAUGGUGUUGCCGGCUCGCGGCUCACCUCCUGCCUCGUACGAGCCGCCGGUCGUGAUGAGGCAGAGGGGCGGCGGUGGUGCUGUCCGCGCCUCUUCUUGGGCGGGGAGGCGUGGUGGCGAGGGCGUCUCGGGGCCCUCAACCGUGCUGGCGCAAUGCGGGCUCCUCCCGGUCCUUUGACUGAGAGCAAGAUCAUGUCGUAGCCGGAGCCCGUAGACAUGAACUCGAGACUCCCAAACCAAAUCACCGUGGAGCGCGGAAUCGGCGAGGCAAGUGCUGCCAUCUGGAAAGGAGUGGGAAAUCGAUGAAAAAACACGCAGCACCCCUACCUGGCGCGCCAACUAUCGGUGUUUUCCCCACGGGGGGUAACACCAACGAGUAAAUUUGUAUGCGUGCUCCCUUUCCCAGAUGGUGAUGCAAGAAGACACAAAGAUUUAUCCUGGUUCGGGCAAGAGAAGGCCCUAUGUCCAGCGGGGGAGGGGAGUCUGUAUUAUCUCGCACCUAAGUGCUUGUACAGGGGUGAAUACAAGCGUGGUAUGAAGUAUGGGAGUUCUACUGCGUAUGGGUCUCCUGCCGUUCUAUUCCUGAGUCCCUCCUUUUAUAGCUCCAAGGAGAGAGCUAGGGUACAUGUGUAAGUGUCAGAGUAGGGGUCGAUAGCAGCAUGGAGUGCUGACCUACACGAGGCUUCCGUACCGGCAUGGCCUCGAGCUGUCCCGUCUUGAUAGCCUGGUGAUGAUUACGCGUGCCCCUGCAUUCUGCUCUGCGCGCCGUCUUGCGUUGGUUCAACGGUCGCACGCUUGUACGAUAUGGCGGCAGAUCCGGUGGGGUGGUCGUGGUGUUGUCAGUCGACGCCCAACUCGUCCCCAGGAUAGGACCCUGUUCGGUCGAGGGUCAGACGCCGUGUAAUGUGCCGAUAUUCGGAGCGCUGACCUUGGAUGUCUCGAGGGGGUCCCGAUUAGAUGUCCCAUCCUCGUUUCCUGCGUCCUGACACGACCUGGAUUGUUUGGUGGGGAAGGCUGCAAAAAGAACGAUGGGACGGGUGCCUGUUUCCUAUCACGCUUCCCGUGGUCAGUGUGUUAGGUGGGAAAACAGCAGGUGCAUUAAAUGCCCUGGCUCUCGUGCGCGCGUCAGGCGGCGGACAGUGUACUUGCGCUCGACGCUUCCCGAUUCGCUCGAGCUCGUCUCCGUGUUCGACGGUAGCUAGCGCUCGACCCCCGAUCGAUUCGCUCGACGCUAUUUCCGUCUUCGAGGUUGCGGACGUCGAUGGCUGCGUAUAUAUACGGCCAGAGCGUCGAGUUGAGGGCCUCGUCCUGCGUAUGGAUAGUCUCGUUACGUGCAUCGGUGAGGGAACCCCUUAUCGAUACCCUCGACAGAGGGUUUCGCGGCGAGCUAGGUGGUGGAGAUUGAAGAGCAGGGUACGGCGGAGCUGCUGGUGAACUUUGGUGGAUGGCGGUGCAGUGUGGUGCGCGCUCGAGCUCGCAGGAGUGAGCCCGACAAUGGCGACUCCGCUGCCGUCGCGUUUCUCUGAGAGAAAGGAGAAAGGGAGAGAAUGAGCGCGUCUAGGAGAUCGAGGACGACACCAUGGAGGUCAUGCACGCCCUCAACACUGACGAGCGGGGCCAAGAGCAGCGUACGGGCACCAAAAGGCGAAUAGAUGCUGCCGCCGGUCGGCCACAUCGGCGACUGAAGCUUCCUAUUUAGAACUCAAUUCAGUGACUGCAGAGUUACUUUGCCGGCGAUUAUUUCCCAAAUCGUGGCGAAUUAGGAGAUGGUGUAGUUGACAAUCUUGGAGUACUAACUGAGUUCUACAUGUUUGUCAACUGGAGCAAAAGCCAAAUCAGCCUGGAUGAAAAGAUAUAGAGCUUCCAAAAACCUUCAGACAAACUGGUGGCGCUAGGACUUGGUAAAAUUUUGCUAAGUGUCAAAACAGCCCCCAAUUCUUCCUUGUGAGCCCUUUUUGGGCAAGUUUUGGUCAUUUUCUUGAUAUGGCCAUAAAACAACUUUUGUUCCUUAUAAAAUUUGCUACAACUUUGCUUUAGAAAGUUUUGACAUGCAAACAUUCUAUGAAGCACUUUUUAAAAUCCUAAGCAAGAGGUUUAUGAGCCCCCUAAGUGAAACCAUGACUUAGAAGCAUAAUGAGAGGAUAUGAUCAACAUGAACAUUGUUCCAAAGGUUGAGUUAAGCAAAGUUAACCCACUUACCAAGGUCGAGAACACAUACAAGGGCAUUUCAUACUCAAACACAAGCAUAUAAAGCAUAAAUAAACAAGUUAAGCAACAUCAACACAUAAAAUGACAUGUCCCAAGGUAAAUGAUGAUCAUGGUAUGCUUAGGAAGAUGAUUAUGCUCAUGUCAUGCAUUUGAAAGGAUGGAACCAUAAGACUGGGGUGUUACAUGCCAUUCGUCUUUGCCUUUUCCCAUUCUCACUAUUGAGAAAAGAGAAGCAAUGGUUCUACGCCAGCAAGAGUGAAGUCACCACCUAGGAGAGUGCGCCAAUACAUUUCUCAAGAAGUUCUUGCCAAUGGGCAAAACUAGCGCCCUUUGUGGAAAGAUUUUUAGCUUCCAAUAGCAAGCUGAUGAGACAAUUCCCAAAGCAUGGGAACAUCUCCAGGAGUACAUUUGCGCCUGUCCUGAUCAUGGGAUAGAGGAAUGGCUCCUCAUUCAAGGUUUCUACCAUGGUCUGACUGGUUUGGUCUGAAGUCACCUUGAUGCCAUUGUUGGAGGAGCAUUUUUGCAACACAAUGUCCAGGAUGCCAGGGACCUUAUAAAGAAGAUGGUCACAAACCAAGGAUAGAAUGAGGAACGUCUCUAGCCCAAGAAGAGAGGUGUCCAUUCCCUCAAUGAGGUGGACAUUCUCUCUGCUGAAAUGGAACUCUUGAUGAAAAAGAUGGAAGAAGGUUCCAAGAAGGAACAAGAGGCCAUUCAACCUUACGUAACCACAUGAGCCGUUGAAGUCAAUUUGUGGUGCAAGGGGUGUGUGUGGAGGAGAUGAUCAUUCAGGAAAUAAUUGUCCCAAAAUGAAGGAAGAGGUGAGCUUCAUCAUCAUCAUCAACAACAAUAGGUACUAGCCCCAACAAUAGCAACAAGCAUGGAACUCGUGCCCCUUUUACCAAGUAGACCAAGGUAACGGUUAUAAUCAUAAUUUCAUUAAUUCUUUUAGUAACAACCUUCUUUAAGAGAUCUUGUAUUAGGUCAAUCUAGAAUAAAUGAUAGUAUUAACAAGAAAAUGAUGGCUAAUGAUAAGAUUCUUAAAAAUCUAAGUGAGAAAAUGGAUAGCUUUACUUUUGCUAUGAAAAAUAAAUUGAGCUUCAAUAAAAUGUUAGAAACACAAUUAGCUCAGUUAGUAGUAGCUGUCCCAUCCUUCGAGUAGGGUAAGAUCCUAGGGAAACCUAAGGAUUCAAUUAAAGGUGUUAAAUUAGUAACCAUGAGGUUCGGUAAGCCUCUGGUGUGGUCCAACUACAGUUAUCUCCUUGAUCCACUAUUCAUGUCAAGAAGGAUGAUCCAGGCCACCCAACCAUCACCUGUGAGGCUGGACCACAAAUCUUCCACAACAUCUUUUGUGACCUUGAAUCGGGUGUCAACAUCAUGGCCUAGGUAACCUAUGAAAAUUUACUAGGGGGCCUUUGCACCCCACAUUUGUUCCUUUGCAGAUGGACAAUCAAAUUCCCUAAGGGACUGGCAAGGGAUAUACUAGUCAAGAUUCAAGAUGAAUAUGUCCCUGCCGAUUUCGUCAUACUGGACAUGGGGGCUAUUGACGGUAAUUAUAGCAUCAAAAUGCACAUCCAAAACACCAUUAACAGGCCCUCAGUUUCAAGGAAGAUUAAACAUUCAUGAACACAUGUUAUCAUGUUAUCAAUAACUAGUUCCACUUGUACUCUUAGCUUGUGAUUUGUAGGUAGCAUGAAAUGGCACAAAAAGCAACCAAGAUGGGCCCACAUGGGGGAUCGACCGAUCCCCCUAUGCUACCUCCUCAAGGUGCCACGUAGGCAUGAUCCAAGGCAACCCCCUAGAAGCAAUUCUUAGCCUUUGGAUCAGAGUGUGCUUUCUCUCAACAGCUAAAAUCAAGAGAACACGAAUUCAUGGGUCCACAUGUCAGAAGAACCGGCAUGAAAAAGCACAACAAGAUGGAGAACCAGACUCUAUGACAAGUGGGGACACCAGUCAACUGACCUAGGCUAGCCCCACCUAUCAUAGGGGGAUCGGCUAAUCCCCCCUGGUGGCUAGCCGAGGUCAGUUUGUUCCCACCGACUUCCCCACAUUUCACACAUGCUGAAAAGAUGCUAGCCAUUGGAUUUGAGGUGGUUCCAAGGUCGGUUGCAUCCAAGGGCUAUCAAGCAAUAUCACACGGAUCGCUGACAUGGUGCUGGAGUAGCCCCUACUCCACCUCCCUCUAUAAAUAGCUACUGGAUCCUCACUUGUAAAUCAUCUCUUCUUGCAUCUUCAUACUCAUAAGCUUGAGAGAUCAAGUAGUUGUUAGCUAGUAGUGGGAGUUAGAGUUGAGUUGAGCAAGCUCGGGGUCUCCAGAGUCGCCUUCUGGAGAGUCUGGUAUUGUUCUUGUAUCUUUCCUUUAGUACUUUAUUUUAAUAUAUUAGUCUUUCUUUACUUUGCUUAGUAUUACUUUCAGUACUACUUUGUCCAAGUCUCUUUAUAGUCUUGUAGUGUGCUAAGUCUUAGUAGCAUAGUUGUUAUAGUGAAUUGGUCCCUGUAACCACUCCUUGUGUGUAGAUUAGUGUCCUAAGUUAAUCUUGGAGCUCGAGCUAAUUUGAUCGUUAGUGAGAGUUGUAAGAGUAAGUGUGAACGUGGUGUUCAUACUUAGUCUUAUCAUUGGUAGCCACUAGUCUUUACAGAAGGUCCGUGGGUGCACUGGCCUGAAGUGACAGUUCAGGCUCAGCAUUAGGAUUCCCACCACGUCGAGGCUAGUUUCUAAGUGCAGGACGUACAUAAGUUUGGUCUUGCUUGAGCAGGAGUUCUCUCACCUUCUCUUUCAUUUCCUCCCCUCACACAAGUAGUAAGGGUCAGUUUAUCUAUCCACCCUAUUAUUAGGAUCAAGUCCACCAGAGUUAUGUUAGCAUCAUAGGAGUCCUAUACUCACUCGUUGUCCUCCCACCUAGCUAUCACUACUAGUUACCUUAGAUUAGGAUUUAAGCUUUACAUUGAUUAUCAUUUAUUCUAUCUAUCAUUUACCCCAUAGUCCACUAGUUUGUCCUAGGCCAUAGUAAACAUGAGGAUAUCUCCUCUCUCUUAUUACACAUCCUAGCUUGCUUUCCCUUGGGAAAAUAUAAAUUACGAUACCCUAGAAUACUCCCGGGUGAAGUGCAACAUUGGUACAUUCUGUGCGCUUGCGGAAUAAUCCACUAGUCUAGAAUUAUCACACACCUGGCAUCUCUAGUGACAUUGCUAUUCUAGCGGUGCUGCUAAGAUUUGACAACAAGCAUUUCUGGCGCCGUUGCCGGGGAAAGCAUCAGUCUAGGAGUUUUUAAUUAGAGAGAAUCUAGAGUUUACUAUGGUCUUAGAUAUCAACUAGUGUUAGGGACUAACCCCUCACUUGUCUUGUUUCUUGUUAUCAUUAAAAUUUAGACAGUGUGUGAACAGUUUCCAACUGCCAUCAAACUUCAUUGAAGAUCCUGAGUAGUUGUUGAGGAGAUGAAAGGUCCAAAUGGCUAGAGGGGGGGUGAAUAGCCUAUUUAAAUUUUCUACAAACUUCAACUAGACAAGUUGAUUAGUAAAACAAAUGGCGAAGCAAAUCUAGCACUAGCUCAACUAAGCUAUGCAAGCCACCUAUACAAACUAGUACAAGGCUAAACACUAAAGCACAACAACAAGAGAAGGCUAGUUACACUCCUAAACAAGAAGACUAAACUAAACAAGCUAAACAACUAGCAAGGUAUACAAGAAAGUAAGGAGUGGAGAGCGAUUGUUAUACCAACGUUGUAGAGUAGAGAUAUAUCCAAUCAAUCACUCACAAUCACAAGAGAAUCCUCGGCAAGAGAUGACACAAGAUUUUUUACCGAGGUUCACUUGCUUCCCGGCAAGCUAGCCCUCGUUGUGGCGAUACACCCACUUGAUGGAUCACGAGCUAAUUGGCAAUCCAAAGCCAAACCCUCAGCGGGUGCCGCACAUCCACUCACAAGAUGGGGAUCCUCCAAGCCACGAGCAAUCCACUAGAGUAGCCAAUUGCGAUCUCCCGCGGGGAAGGCUCAAGAACCCCUCACAAAUCACUUGGUGAGGCUCGAAACAAUCUCCAAUCACGAGCUCAACACCACCGCUGCUCCAAGCCGCCUAGGGCGUCGGGAAACAACCAAGAGUAACAAGAAGUCUGCAGCAAACUCAAGAAUCAAGUGCCACUAAAUGCAACUCUCAAAGCAAUGCGCUUGAAUCUCACUCAAUCUCACUAGGAUGAGCAAUCAAGCAAGGAGAUGAGUGGGUGAAGUGUUCUCUAGCUCAAAGUAUGUCUCAUGUAAUCAAAUGUGCAAGAGUGAGCCUCCCAAAGCCGGCCACCCUCAAAGUAUAAGCCCCUCAAAGAAACUAGCCGUUGGCUGUUUUCACUGGGCUGAAAACGGGGGAACCGGACGCUACUAAGUAAGCACCGGACGCUUGACUCCCUGCGUCCGGUGCACUGGAGUUGGCCACGUGUCCGUCCUGAAUCUCACGUGUCAGAUCCUAACGGUCACCUGCGGAUCACCAGACGCUCUGCAGGUCCACACCGGACGCGUCCGGUGCACACCGGACUCAUGCGCAGAGAGUUCCGCAAACCUGCGGGUCACCAGACGCUAAGCACCGGUAGCGUCCGGUGCUCACCGGACCCAUGCGCAGAGAAGGUCGCAAAACACCCGCACACCGGACGCUAACCACCGGACGCUUUCAGAGUGCGUCCGGUGCUCAACCCUAGCAGGGUCAAGCACACCGGACUCUUAGGCCAGCGUCCGGUGCCUCCGCACUCAGCGCCCGGUGAGUGUUUCUCAUUGAGAAAACACACCCGUGACUUCUCCAAAUUUCCCACCGAACCCAAACCUCUCUCAACCCUAGGAACUCCACCUGCUUUGCAAAUGUGCUAACACCAACAAGUGUCCGCCACCAAAGUGCAUGUGUGUUAGCUUUUCACAAAUAAUUUCCCAAAGGAGUUAAGUUAGCACUUUACUAGAUCCUAAUGCAUAUGCUCAAGAUGUAGACCUAGUAACACUUGAUUCGAGAGAUGACCGUGAUUUCCCCUCUUGAUAGUCGGCUAUCCAUCCUAAACCCGGUCAAUCACUUCUCUACUCAUCUUAGACCGGCAAAAGUAAAACCCUAUGUUUAUACCUUUGCCUUGAUAACUUUGCUCCUCGUCUAUCACCAUGAUCUUCACUUCAUGCUUCAUCCCUUUGUGAUCAUGUGGCCACCUUUCCAUGCCACCAUGCACCUUCAUCACUUGUGUUGCUAUGCCUAACUCAAAUCACUUAAACACAGGCAUUAGCAACUUGGUGUCAUUAAUUACCAAAACCAAACUUGGGCUUUCAAUCUCCCCCUUUUUGGUAAAUGAUGACAACCAUCACAAAGAUAUGAAAAGAAAUCAUAAUGAACUUGAAUUGCUUGUCCAAAGCAUUUUAAUCAUGAGACAAAGUUGGACAAACAUUUCAAUUUUGGUUUUGGUAGUACUAGCCCCCCCUAGAUAUGUGCUUCCAUGAGUUUGGUUCAAGUUUGCACAUAUGCAUGAAUUAGAGUUUUGGGAGAUUUAUUAAUACCAAGAUGAUGCUAAGGUAUAUAGAAUGGACCUUUGAAGCGUGAUACCAAUCGGAGUUGCCAAUAUACCAUCCUUAGUACCAAUGUAGCUAGACAUACAUCAAAAACUCAAGAUACGUCGUGAGAUCACAUUAUAUGUCUAGAUACCACAUAAAAAUAAAACAACUAUGCUAGAAUUCAAAGCAUCAUUCAAGUUUUAUAUCUAGCAAGCACCAAUCAAACAAGAGUAGUAUAUUUAUGUGCUCGUACACCUCAUUAUGUUAGUGCACAUACAAAUGCAACAAAUGGUUCAUGAGCUUGCAACACCUCAUUAUUUUAGUGCACAUACAAAUGCAAUGCAACACCUCAUUAUGUUAGUGCACAUACAAAUGCAACAAAUGGUUCAUGAGCUUGCUCCCCCUAUUUGUGUGCUCAAGUUUUAAUUUAAUUUUCCAAAAGUUAUCUCUCCCCCUUAAGCACUUUUCUCCCCCUUUAUGACUUUAUCUUUGUUUCUCUCCCCCUUUGUCAUCAAUGACCAUAAAGGUUCAAAUUUUAGUGAAAAUUAAGUCAAUCAAUGUGAGGGUCAAAUUGUGGUUCAAUCUAGAUCACUUGCCUAAGACAUGUAAUUCGGUUUGAUCCAAGGACAAGCUUUUUCACACCUCAUCAAGUAUAAGGGUUAUCUUGACCAUGUUGAAUUACACAUCAUAAGCUCAUAUUCUAGAUCCAACACUAGGCUUACAAGCUCACAAACAUGCCAUAUGCUACCACUGGAUCAAUCAAUCAUAGAAACAAUAGUGGUACCAUACAUACAUCAAAUUCUUUUGAUUUUCAUGAAUGAGCCUAUUGUCAUGCAAAUAUGUCAAAAUGUUCUAAUCAUGUCCUUAGUAAAGUAUGAAUGCUAUGUCAACCAACUUUACCUUGCAUUGUUGGAGGAGAGGCAUGUCAUAUAUAAAUGUAGGGGUGCACUCAUCUCAAGUUGGAGAAGUCAAGUAUGUUCAAUUCAUUCCUUAACUUGCAAAAUCUCUUCUCAUGAAGUGGCUUUGUGAAGAUGUCGGCUAGUUGAUCUUCGGUGCCAAUGCUUUCAAUGCUAAUAUCACCUUUUUGUUGAUGGUCUCUUAUGAAAUGGUGCCUUAUGUCAAUGUGCUUGGUUCUUGAAUGUUGAACCGGAUUUUGUGUCAUCUUGAUUGCACCCUCAUUGUCACAUAGCAAAGGCACAUUCUUGAAUUUGAUUCCAAAGUCAUUCAAGGUAGCUUUCAUCCAAAGCAAUUGUGCAUAACAACUACCGACACUAAUGUAUUCGGCCUCGGCGGUUGAUAGUGCAACACUAUUUUGUUUCUUUGAUGACCAUAAAACUAGAGACCUUCCUAGCAAUUGACAAGUGCCACUUGUGCUCAUUCUAUCAAUCUUGCAUCCACCAUAAUCGGAGUCUGAAUAUCCAAUCAACUCAAAGUUAGACCCCUUGGGAUACCAUAAUCCAACAUCAUGAGUGCCCUUGAGAUACCUUAAUAUUCUUUUGGUUGCCUUCAAGUGACUCUCUGUUGGGUAUUUUAAAUGCAAACAGAAAAAUUCUACAAGCGCACGGAUACCGAUGUAGCCUUCACCCGAGAGUAUUCCAGAGUAUCGAUUUUCCACAGGGAACGUGAGUGUACUAAUUAAGAAUCAAGAUCGCCCAAGGAUAACUAUAUAAUUAUUUUUGGUGGGAAGAGAGGAAGUUUCCUGAGAGUUCUCUAGUUGAUCUAAGAAUCAAGAAUUACUUCAAGAUUAUCUAUUUCGGGACAUCAGAACACUAACCACAGAAAGAGAUGAGAAGGGGGCUAGGAAGCUCCGACUACGGUCCUACAAACACCGAUCCGAACGUGGUGGAAUACGUCGACCGUUAGGGCUGUCACUACCCUAGGGCUACCACAACAAUCCGCAGGAUUGGGUGCAAUUCCAGGUAAUUGCAAGACUAAACACCACGUCUAAUCUAUUAAUUACUACUCUAAUGUUUCAAAGAUUAGAGCACUUGAUGCAAGCGGGAAUCCAAUAAAUAACUUGAAUGUAAAUAAAAGUAAUUAGAGAACUCAGGAAUUAUGAAUUGAAGAACCUGGAGAAUGAUGAACAACGAACCAGAUGCUGCAAAAGUAUAAUGUUGAGGAAGAUCCGACAGAUCCGGCUCCUCCUCCGCUCUCCUCUUCUCUCUCCCUAUUUUCUAGAUUACAACUAGAACUAACUAGAACUAGAACUAGAGGAACUAGAACUAGAACUAGAUGAACUAGAACUAGAUCUAGAUGAACUAGAGGUAGAACUAGAAGAACUAGAGGGAUCCUCUCUACUUGGAUGAAGAAUUGAAACCCUAGCUUUGAUUCUGUAGAAGAGGUAUGAUCUCCAGGGGCUAGGGGGCCUUGCUUAUAUAGUCUUUUCAAAUGAAUCUGGGCCAUCGGAUCAAACCGACAUUGAUCAUGUGGUUUUCCUUGAAGUAUUAGGUCGGUGGAGCAUGAUCCCCGAACUUCACCCUGAUUGGUCCAGGGGGAAGGGCGGGCGCCCAGUGCCCGGCUCCGUCACGUCUCCCGUUCGCUCCCGUGGCUUCUGGACUCUUCUAGAAGAUAGAUAAUUGUGCGGUACGUUAAUAUCUCUAUGUAAACCCGACGUGUGGGCCUUUCUUCCGUAUUUCCUGAUAACCCCCUGCAGAAAUAGACAAACACCAAAACUUGUGGAAUUCUGUCAGAUAAAACCCUAAGUCUAGGUGUUGGUUGCAUUUGGAUCCUUUUCCAUGAUUAAUUGAUGGUUAAAUAUGAGCAUUGAGGACCCUCAACAAGCUCCCCCAAGCUUAACCUUUGCUCGUCCCUGAGCAAAGAUGAACUCAAGAGUUUCUGAAGUGGUUUCAUGCCUUAAAGAUACACAUGCGUUGAAACAAGAUCUCAUCUCUGGGUUAGGGUAAACUGUUAAGAUUUAAACUUACUCAUUUUACCUUCCACCAUGGGGCUUGCAACCGUCACCUGUGUCUUGAGCAGUUAAAAGAUAGAACGGUCUAGUCAAGCACCAUGUCUCUUAUUCUUGAUCAGCUAUAGCUCUGGAGUUUUUGUAGAUUUUCAAAUAAAACUUAGAGAUUCCUUGUAUGACUCUCUCUAGUCUCUUUUUUGUAGUAUUUCUGGAUCCUUACCUAGGCAGUAUUGGUAUAUGCCUUCUCUCAAAGUAUGUGGUAUUUGUGGUAUAAGGCAUAGUGGCAUUGCCUUCUCUCUCACCCUACUCUAAUAAGGCUUUUGAUAUUUGGAGCUCAUAGGUGGGAGACAGCUAAUACAUACUUACAAGACAUUUAUUGCAUAGUCAAACCAUGGAUCUAGAAAAACAAGUCAAUAAGUCAAAUCAAGAUGUGCAUGUGUGGCGAAUGAAUGGUGUAUGGUGAUGAUGGUGAUAACAAUGGUGAAAGUCUAAUUCUACUUUUGCUCUUUUGAGGGGAUUCAUACCUUUCUUGCUCUUUUGAAACUUUUUGAGGAGAAUGAGAUGCUCUAUAUUUUAUCUUUUUUUUCUUUUCUCUCAGGUGGGUAUCUUGUACCCCUAAUUCUACUGUCGGACACUUGUCCAUUUUUACCUCUCGUCUCACUUUUUCUUUCUUUCGAGGUUCCGGGCACUUGCCCCUUUUUAUUUCCUCGUAUACUUUUUUUAGAGCACUCAUCUCAUGAGAUAAGAUAGCAAGUGGUAGUAACAAGAUAACUUGAGCAGUUAUUUCACAGGGGAAAAACAGAAAUGUUUUUGGCUAUUCUCUCUCGGAUUAGGAGUAGAAUAUUUUUAGGUGGUUCUGGUGAUGGAAAUGGGUGGAUAUAUGUGGAUGCGUACUUCCGGAGUAGAAGCAGCAUGCACUGUUCGCCUAAACGGCCGUUUAGACCGUUUAAACGCCGUGUAAACGCUACACAAUGAUACACCGUUUCAGUUUAAUCAUCUGUUUAGUCCGUUUAAUUGACCGUUUAGCCCGUUUAAUGGACUGUUUAGCCCGAAUAAUGGCUAAACGGCAGGUGACCGACUGUUUACCGUUUAGCGUUUAGGAAAACAUUGGCAGCAUGUAUGAGUGAACGUGCAAGUGAAUCUUGAUUUAACCGCAUGACAAGCUCCUAAGGGUCUACACAGCUCGACCACACUCAAUGCUCAUAAGUAGUAAAGUAAAUGUGUGGUUCAUAGUCUAGCAAGCAUGUAUAUAUUGCUGUGGUAGGAAUUUAAACUCUCAUCAUACAGGAACUCAUCAUGCAACAUUUUAAAGAUUUUCAAAGAUAAAAUUCUCCAGAAUUCUAGCAUCUCCAGGAACAGAUAAACAGCAGCUCAACCUUCCCAUAUCGUAUCCGUUAACUACUUAGACUUUAGAUCAAGUACUCUCCCCACAAGUUCAGGUUUAGAGCAAAUCUUAAUUAAUAACAGUCAUGCCCAAACUUGAGAGAGAUUUCAAUUUUAAAAACUAGUCAUGGCAGAGCAACUAUUCAUCAUUUCCAUGUGAGAGCUUAUCAUGAGGUGUCAUAGCAGACUUUAUUUAUUUAUUUAUUUAUUUAUUUAGCAAACUAAGCAAAGAUAUAUAUAAGCACAAAAUCUUUAUUUGGGUUUCUAUGAUUAUGCAUCAUUUUAUUAUUAGAGUAAAGUAUAAACGUGAGUAGAAUACUUAGCUGGAUAAAUGGGGGUGCUCUCCCCCAAGCUGGAUUUUGACGUAGUUUCUUCUAAUGUAGCUAGCAAGUGGUGGAGGUGUAUUUGAAUGUCAGCAGCACCCUGACAGCGAUUAGGACGUCCUCCGUCUGCUAGUCUUCUUUGAUCCUUGAAUUCUGUGGAGCUCAAAUAGACAACAAAGCUUUG